RNAcentral lists this long non-coding RNA (45487 nucleotides) under Homo sapiens (human). RNAcentral describes it as "non-protein coding lnc-BAZ1A-4:13". The stretch from base 29100 to 29247 matches the Rfam family "Metazoan signal recognition particle RNA". The record is from RNAcentral. Lineage: Eukaryota; Metazoa; Chordata; Mammalia; Primates; Hominidae.
ACUGCGAGGCAGGCAGUGAUGCUGCGGCCGCUUCGCACUGUGGCUCCUGCCGACCGCCAGGCGCUGUUACAGUGGAUGCGAACUAACCGUAAGUGUAAGUGACCAGAGCUAGAGGCAGGUGGUGGGGGCAAGGAUAUGCUGCAGGCGCUGACUUUGAGGACUUAAGCGGGGUGAAGCCAACAGCCUUCCUUGGGAUCGUUGUGCUGGUCUCUGCUGUCUUGGGGGGUAGAUUGACCAGGGCUUUGAGUGCUCUAACGGAAAAGAGAGUUAGUUGCUCGCCACACGUAGACACCAAUUAACAAGAGCGAGCCCUAGUAUACAAGAAGAGGGAUUUUAUUUCUGAAGCCAGCCCGCUUCGUCUUUGGAGCAAAAAAGCGGGCAUUUUAUAAGGUACAAGAGGAAAUGAGCAAGAGGUCUCUGCUAGCUGGUGCCUUAUCUACCGGGUAGUUGAGUUGGUGCAUUUCUGAGCAGAAAUAAGUUGUAAAAGUGGCCAAGUGGGCAUGCUUUCUGCUUACCCUUCUGAGGCGACCGCCUGGCGGUGGGAGUUGCGUCUUGGAUCUCGUAGAUGAAUUUGCUCUGUAGAGAAUGGUCUGGUGAGGGGAGUUGAGAGGUUAUUUUGCAGUUCAAAAAGGGCUAAGUGGAAAGUGUAAGGGGAAAAAAUAAACUAUCUCUUGGAAAAUGGGGGUAAUCGGAUACAGUACCACUUGGAAUUAAUUGGGUGUGGGAAACCUGGUUCUGAGUGGUUUGUGAGUUUUCAGCAGACUUCGGACAAGCCUUUAGAGCUCCUUGUGCCUAACCCUUUUUCUGAAAGAAAAUAGAGGGUUAGCCCUCCUCCCCAUUACUCCCACAAACUUGUUAGAAUUGGUACGUUGCCACCUGAAAAAGCAUUUUGCAGGAGAGGUUUUAGGCUGUAGCGUUAGUAGGAAGUGUUAAACGAAAAACCUUAGCCAAGUUAAAUUUAACAUUUUGAGCAAAGAAUGAUUCACGAAUCGGGCAGGCUCAGAGAGAUUGCAGCGCAGCCAAGUGUUGAAGAUUUAUAGACAGAAAAAGGCUGCAGUGAGCUUUGAUCCCGCUGCUUCACUCCAGCCUGAGCGACGCAAGACCCUGUCUCUUUAAACACACACGUUAAAACUGAGGAAAUGUGGUAGCUAGAUCUAGUUACUGAAAAAUGGGAUAGAUGUAUUCUGGCAAAGUAAAGCCUGAUGAAAGCUCAAGAAAAUAGGAUAUUCUUAUGUUUGUUAACUAUAGCAAACUAUCCUAUGCCUGUAUGCGAGAGUGUGUGUGUGUGUGUGUGUGUGUGUGUGUGUGUGUGUGUGUAUGUGUGUGUAUUUAUUUUUUGAGACAGAGUUUCACUCUUGUUGCCCAGGCGGGGCUGCAGUGGCGCCAUCCAGCUCACUGCAACCUCCACCUCCCUGAUUCGAGCGAUUUUGAGUGGCUGGGAUUACAGGCGUCCGCCACCACGCCCGGCUCAUUUUUGUAUUUGUAGUAGAGACGGAGUUUCACCAUGUUUCCCAGGCUGGUCCCAAACUGCUGACCUCAGGUGAUCUUCCUGCCUGGGCCUCCCAGAGUGCUGGGAUUGCAGGCGUGAGCCACCACGCCUGGCCACUAUGCCUGUAUUUUGCUGAAUGGUGAUUUCCAUGGUUAUUUUUAUCCAAGCUCAUGACUUGAAAUGUCAUUGUUAGCUGAUGACUUACAAUUUUAGAUUUUUAACCUCGACCUCUUAAAAUUCUUUGUGAUGUUAGAGUCAGUAGGUUUAGAUAUUAUAAUUAACAUUAUUACACAUUUUAGGAGUCAUUUUAGAUAAGAUGUCAAACUGAAGAUAACAGGAACAUCUGCUAGUGAGAUUUGACCUGGAAAGUAUAGAAAACCAGAUACACAGCUUUGUUUAUUUAUUUAUUUAUUGAGACGGAUUCUCAGUCUGUCGCCAGGCUGGAGUGCAGUAGCACGAUCUUAGCUCAUUGCAACCUCUGCCUUCUGGAUUCAAGUGAUUCUCCUGCCCCUGGAGUAGCUGGGAUUACAGGCACGAACCACCGCGUCCAGCUAAUUUUGGUAUUUUUAGUAGAGACGGGGUUUUACUAUGUUGGCUAGGCUGGUCUUGAACUCCUGACCUCGUGAUCUGCCCUCCUCGUCCUCCCAAAGUGCUGGAUUACUGGCAUGAGCCACCGCACCCAGCCGGAUACAGCUUUAUUUCUAUAUACACAAAAUCAAGAUAAUAAUUUCCAUAAUAUGCUGAGUCUCCUGUCACUUCAUCUAAACCCUAUGUUGCACAUUUCUUUUUUGUUUUUGUUUUUGUUUUUGAGACGGAGUCUCGCUCUGUCCCCCAGGCUGGAGUGCAGUGGCGCAAUCUUGGCUCACUGCAAGCUCCGCCUCCCGGGUUCACGCCAUUCUCCUGCCUCAGCCUCCCGAGUAGCUGGGACUACAGGCGCCCGCCACCACGCCCGGCUAAUUUUUUGUAUUUUUAGUAGAGAGGGGGUUUCACCGUGUUGGCCAGGAUGGUCUGGAUCUGCUGACCUCGUGAUCUGCCCGCCUCCGCCUUCCAAAGUGCUGGGAUUACAGGCGUGAGCCACCGUGCUCGGCCGCACAUUUCAUUCUUCAUAUCCCAUUUGUCAAUAAAACAGCACCGAUUUACAUCUUUUUUUUCACAUUCCUCAGCACAAGGUCAUUUAUUCUAAAAGCACUGAGUGCCUAGAAAGAUGUCACAUACUGCCUAGAGCUGGCAAUUGUAAAAUUACUAAAACAUCUUUGCCCUCAAGAUUUGUUUUGUGGAGCCAUUUGCAAUCUAAAUUUUGAUUUUUUUUUUCCUGUGUUUUGUUUGUUUUUGAGAUAGGGUCUUUGUCACCCAGGCUGGAGUGCAGUGGCACCAUCAUAGCUCACUACAGCCUCACACUCUUGGCCUCAAGGGAUCCUCCCACCUCAACCUCCUAAAGUGUUCAAAUUACAGGCAUGAGCCACUGUACCCAGCCUCAAAUUUUAGAGAUAUCAGUUGAGACUCUAUUUUUCAAAAUCAGGAAGACUUGAAAGAACGUUUUGGAUAAUUUUGUAAACAAGAGCCAAUAUCACUGGCUAAAGAAUAUAUUUUUACUUUUUUUUUUUUUUUUUGAGUCAGAGUCUUGCUGUCGCCCAGGCUGGAGUGCAAUGGCACGAUCUUGGCUCACCGCAACCUCCGCUUCCUGGGUUCAAGCGAUUCUCCUGCCUCAGCCUCCUGAGUAGCUGAAACUACAGGCACGUGCCACCACGCCUGGCUAAUUUUUUUGUAUUUUUAGUGGAGACGGGGUUUCACCGUGUUAGCCAGGAUGGUCUCAAUCUCCUGACCUCGUGAUCUGCCCGCCUCGGUCUUCCGAAGUGCUGGGAUUACAAGCGUGAGCCACCGCGCUCGGCCCUAUUUUUACUUUUUUUAAAGGUACUUUUUGUUGUUUUUAAAGAAAGGGUCUCACUCUGUCACCCAGGCUGGAGGCUGGUGUGCCGUGACACUGUUAUAGCCCACUGCAGCUUUGACCUCCUGGGCUCAAGCAGUCCUCCUACCUCAGCAUCCUGAGUACCUGAGUAGCUGGACUAUGGUGCAAACCACCACACCCAGCUUUUUUAAAUUUCCUGUAGAGACAGUGUCUCACUAUGUUGCCCAGGCUGGUCUCAAACUCCUGGCCUCAAGAGAUACUCCCACCUUGGCUUCCCAAAGUGCUGGGAUUACAGGUGUGAGCCAUCGUACCUGAUCUAAAGGUACUUCUUGUGCCUCUCUUCAGCAGAUCCUGUAGUGAGGAAGCUCAAGCAAUUUGUUAAACAAUUUAAAAAAUAACUUGAGUUUCUGAAGAAUGUUUAUUAACCCGAAUAUUUUAAGAAGUGAGGCCGGGCAUGUGGCCCACUCCUGUAAUCGUAGCACUUUGGGAGGCCGAGGUAGGUGAAUUGCCUAAGCUCAGGAAUGUGAGACCAGCCUGGGCAACAUAGUGAGAACCUGUCUCAAAAAAAAAAAAAAAUUAAAAAUUAAAAAAAAUUUUAAGAAGUGAGAGUAUCACUGAACUUAAAAUAAAGGAGUAUGGUUAUUUAUAAUCCUUAAAAAAAGUAGUGUAUUAGUAUACCUUCUUUAUUGUGGUAAAAUAUGUAUAAAAUAAAAUUUACCAUUUUGACCUUUUUUUUUUUCCUUCAGACAGAGUCUUGCUCUUUGCCCAGGCUAGAGUGCAAUGGCACAAUCUCGGCUCACUGCAACCUCUGCCUCCCAGGUUCAAGCGAUUCUCCUGCCUCAACCUUCUGAGUAGCUGGGAUUACAGGCGUGCACCACACCUGGCUAAUUUUUGUAUUUUUAGUAGAGAUGGGGUUUCACCAUGUUGGCCAAGCUGGUCUCGAGCACCUGACCUCGUGAUCUGCCCACCUCAGCCUCCCAAAGUGCUGGGAUUACAGGCGUGAGCCACCACGGCCAGACCAUUUUGACCAUUUUUUACUGUAUAGUUAAGUGGCAUUAAAUAUGUUCACGUUGUUUUGUAAAUAUCACUAUUAAUCUCCAGAACUCUUGUCUUCCCAAACUGAAACUCUUAGUAUACCUUUUUAUGAAGUGGUCUAAGUACAGCACAAAAUAUUCUUCUAAACAACCAUUUUUCAUUUUCCUAAUUAGAUUUCCUUUUGCCUGGGGAAAUUUGUUUUUUUUUUUUUUUUUUUUUUGAGACGGAGUCUCGCUCUGUUGCCCAGGCUGGAGUGCAGCCUCCUGAGUAGCUGGGAUUACUGGCACAUGCCACCAAGUCCGGCUGAUUUUUAUAUUUUUAGUAGAAGUGGGGUUUCACCAUGUUGGCCAGGCUGGUCUCGAAUUCCUGACCUCAGGUGAUACGCCCAUCUCGGCCUCCCAAAGUGCUGGGAUUACAGGCCUGAGCCACUGUGCCUGGCCUCUCCUAUAAUUUUUAAAUAAAUUUUUAAACCUCUGGCAUUAAGUCAUUUAAAUAAUGUCUUGCAUGACAUUUGCCUAGACUUUUAAUUUAAAUUAUAACUCUUCUUGAAUUUUUAUACCAUUUGAUGGAAUAACAAAAGACAACGCUAGAUGUUGAGUAUGGCUUUGGUUUUGAGUUUCAUAAGAGUUUAUUAAAACUAGACAACAUGGCUGUGUGCAGUGGCUCACGCCUGUAAUCCUGGCACUUUGGGAGGCAAGGCAGGCAGAUCACCUGAGGUCAGGAGUUUGAGACCAGCCUGGCCAACAUGGUGAAACCCUGUCUCUACUAAAAAUACAAAAACAAAAAAUUAGCCAGGCAUGAUGGUGUGCACCUGUAGUCCCAGCUACUCGGGAGGCUGAGGCAAGAGAAUUGCUUGAACCCAGGAGGCUGAGGUUGCAGUGAGCCAAGAUUGCGCCACUGCACUCCAGCCUGGGCAACAGAGUGAGACGCCAUCUCAAAAAAAAAAAGGAAAAAAGAAACAUAAAACAAAGGUGGGAGCCUAGAUGUUUCUUUGUACAGCUUAGGCUAGGAAAUAAUGAGCACUAGUGUCAGACAGGUAAACCAAGUCUGAGGGGCAAUGCAGGCAAAAACAAGUUCCUCUCCCCCCAAAAAAAGAUAAAAAGCAGUUAAAAUACAGCAGUACUGGAACUCAUUGAUUCUGAUCCUCUGGCAGAGUAUCUUUUCCCUACUAUUUUCCUGAUGUGUAUGAAGUGGGCUCUUGACCUAGAUUUCAAAGUGUAGGAGACUGAUUGCAAUCCAUUAAGUGAGGGGAGUUGAGAACCAGAUCUGCAAAUGGGGUCCCCAAUAGGGCAAAUAGAAAAGAUACAAUGCAACAGCAGUCUAUUAACAAAUUCUACUCUGAAGGCUCUCAGUAUUUCCUGAAUAUGCAAAAUAGAAAUAAAUGAGGACAUUAAACCAAUAACUCAUACAAAGUCUCUCCUUUUCUUUUUUUUUUUUUUUUUUUUUUUUGAGAUGGAGUCUUACUCUGUCACCCAGGCUGGAGUGCAGUGGCGCGAUCUCAGCUCACUGCAAGCUCCACCUCCUGGGUUCACACCAUUCUCCUGCCUCAGCCUCCUGAGUAGCUGGGACUACAGGCGCCUGCCACCACACCCGGCUAAUUUUUUUGUAUUUUUUUAGUAGAGACGGUGUUUCACCGUGUUAGCCAGGAUGGUCUUGAUCUCCUGACCUGCUGAUCCGCCCCGCUCGGCCUCCCAAAGUGCUGGGAUUACAGGUGUGGGCCACCGUGUCUGGCCCAUGCCUGGCUAAUUUUUGUAUUUUUAGUAGAGACAGGGUUUCACCAUGUUGGUUGAUCUCCAGCUCCUGACCUCAGAUGAUCCGCUCACCUUGGCCUCCCAAAGUGCUGGGAUUACAGGCAUGAGCCACCGUGCUGGGCCUCUUCUUUUAGACAGUCUCGCUGUGUCACCCAGGCUGGAGUGCAGUGGUGUGAACACAGGGCUCACUGCAGCCUCAACUUCCCAAGUUCAAGUGAGCCUCCUCCCUCAGCCCAAGUAGCUGGGAUUAUAGGUGCGUGCCAUCAUACUUGGCCAAUUGUUGCAUUUUUUGGUAGUGACAGGGUUUCACCAUGUUGCCCAGGGUGAUCUCAUACUCCUGAGCUCAAUUAUUUCACCAACCUCAGCCUCCCAAAGCACUGGGAUUGCAGGUGUGAGCCACUGCGCCCAACUGCUCAUACAGUUUCUAUUAAGGAUCAAGGUACAGAGGGUAGAAAAUUAAGGUUUGCAGGAAGGAAAUUAACCAGAUAGUCAAGAAAUAUUUAAAUGCUUAAAAUAACAAGAGGUGACUAGACACUUACAGGAGAUUCUCUGUAUCCUUUGUUGUAAACACCUCAAUUGAACAUGUUGCUGAGCAGUAGCUACAGAGCUUUUAUAGGUUCUACUAAAUGAAUAUAAUUGUACUUUUCUCUCAAUCGCAUUUGUUGUCUAUUAAAAAUGGCCAGGAUAUGUGAAAAGAAUAAUACAUCAUGGGCUAGUGGGUUUAUCUCAGGAAUGUCCUGUUGGUUUAACAUUAGAAAAUCAAUGUAAUUCACCAAAUUUGCUAAAACAUACAUACAAUCAUACAUCAUGUAACAACAGGGACAGAUUCUGAGAAAUGCACUGUUAGGCCAUUUCAUUGUUGUGCGAGCAUCAUGGAAUGUACAGUACUUACUCAAACCUAGAUUGUAUAGCCUGUUGCACCUUCUACAAACCUGUACAGCAUGUUCCUGUAGCAACUGUAGGCAGUUGUAACACUAUGGUUAGUAUAUGUGUAUCUAAACAUAGAAAAGGUACAGUAAAAAUAUGACAUUGUAAUCUUAUGGGACCACCAUGGUGUGUGCAGUCUGUCAUUGAUGGAAGUGUCAUUAUGUAGUACGUGACCGUAUUUCAGAAUUGUUAAGAGAGUGGGUUUUGGCCAGGCGCGGUGGCUCAAGCCUUUAAUCCCAGCACUUUGGGAGGCUGAGAUGGGCGGAUCACCUGAGGUCAGUUCAAGACCAGCCUGACCAACAUGGAGAAACCCCAUCUCUACUAAAAAUACAAAAAAUUAGCCGGACGUGGUGGCACAUGCCUGUAAUCCCAGCUACUCAGGAGGCUGAGGCAGGAGAAUUGCUUGAACCUGAGAGGCGGAGGUUGUGGUGAGCUGAGAUGAUGCCAUUACACUCCAGCCUGGGCAAUGAGAGCGAAACUCUGCCUCAAAAAAAAAAAAAAAAAAAAGAGGGUGGGUUUUAAAUGUUCUCGACGCAGAGAAAUAAUAAAUUUGGCCAGGUGCAGUGGCUCAUGCCUGUAAUCUCAGCACUUUGGGAGGCUGAGGCAGACAGAUCACCUGAGGUCGGGAGUUCGAGACCAGCAUGGAGAAACCCCAUCUCUACUAAAAAAAAAAUACAAAAUUAGCCAGACGUGGUGGCGCAUGCCUGUAAUCCCAGCUACUCAGGAGGCUGAAACAGAAGAAUCGCUUGAACCCGGAAGGUGGAGGUUGCGGCAAGCCGAGAUCACGCCAAUGCACUCCAGCCUGGGCAACAAGAGCAAAACUCCCUCCCAAGAAAAACAAAGAAAUAAUAAAUAUGUGGUGAUGAAUAUGUUAGCCCGAUUUGAUCAUUCUACAAUGUAUACAUUCUACCCCAUAAAUAUAUACAAUUAUUAUUUGUCAAUUAAAAAUAAAAUUUUAAGAAAAUGGCUGAGUAGACUUGUGAUAUGGAGGGCCUUAAAAAUCUCAAGAUUUGAUACACUGAAAAAUAGAAGAUCAUUAAAAGUUUGUAAGGAGAGGGAGUGAUAUAAAAGUGAGGUUUAAGCGAGAUUCGUUUAGGUGAACAAGGUAUUUUAUAGUGGGGAGAAGCUGAUAUUGAGGAACUGGUUAUGAGUUUGUAAUGGUAUUCAGAGUGUGAGAUGAUGACUAUGGCUAUGAGAUAGUUGAAUUGAGAAUGAAGGGAAAAUAGGUUUCAAAAGAAAAAGUGGUGGGACUGAAUACCUGACUAGAUACAAAAAGUGAGGUUUGAUUCAUAGGCUGUCAGCUUUGGGGACUUUUCUUUCCUCAUAUAAUUAAUUAGAUGUAAGUAGGAAAUUUUAAAGAAUUGAUUUUGCCCUUUAGAGAAGCUCUUCUUUCUCCAUUCCCUUCCCCUCUACAUAUGUAAUUUGAGGAAAGCUCUACUCUCCUUUAGGCAGCUGAUUAGCACCUUCCUUUAAUCUUUUUCCAAGCAACGUAGUAUUACCACACAUUUGCUGUUUAUGUGUUAAGAGAUGUUCCACCUCACUAGUAAUUAAAUAAAUGCAAAUUAACCAGGUUUUUUAGUUUUUUUAUUUUUUCAGGUAGGAUCUCACUCUGGUUGCCCAGGCUGGAGUGCAAUCGUGUGAUCACGGCUCGCUGCAGCCUUGACCUCCCAGGCUCAGGUGAUCCUCCCACCUCAGCCUCCCAGGUAGCUGGGACUAUAGGCAUACACCACCAUGCCCAGCUACUUUUUAAUUUUUUUUGUAGAGAUGGGGUUUCACCAUGUUGCCCAGGCUGGUCUCAAACCCCUGGACUCAAGCGAUCUGCCUGCCUUGGCCUCCCAAAGUGCUGGGAUUACAGGUGUGAGCCACCGUACCCUGCCCAAGUUUGUUUUUAUGGUAAUAUUCAGUGUUGUGAGGGUUUGAUGAGACUUGUGUUCUUUUUUUUUAUUUUAUUUUUUAUUUUUUGAGAGGGAGUCUCAUGCCCAGGCUGGAGUGCAGUGGAGCCAUCUCGGCUCGCUGCAACCUCCACCUCCCGGGUUCAAGGAAUUCUUCUGCCUCAUCCUCCCAAGUAACUAAGAUUACAGGCAUGUACCACCAUGUCCAGCUAAUUUUUGUAAUUUAGUAGAGACAGGAUUUUACCAUGUUGGCCAGACUGGUCUCGAACUCCUGACCUCAAGUGCUCUGCCUGCCUCAGCCUCCCAAAGUGCUGGGAUUACAGGCGUGAGCCACCACGCCCAGCCAGAGACUCGUGUUCUUUUUUAUUUCUGUUAAACUGAUGUCCUUCAAGAAAGAAAGAAAUGUGCAAAUGUGUAGGAAAAGCCUUUUCAAUGUUGAAGCACUUCUAAGAAUUUAUAGUAAGGAAAUAAUCAGAGAUGCAAAGAGAUGAUGUUUGUCAAAAUGUUUGUUGCAGUAUUCUCAGUUUUACACAAUUAUAACUAUAUUUAACUGUCUCAGGGUAGCAGUGAAUGGUUAAAUAGAGACUACACAGCCUUCAAAAGUAAAGUUUCCACUAAUUUUAAUUUUAAUGACAUAGCGUAAAUGCUUAGGAUAUGCAGUGGGUUCUCCAUGUCCACAGAUUGUACAUUUGUACAUUGAUCCAGCAGAGAAUUGAAAGUAUUUCAAAAAUAAUAAUAUACUAUUUUUAGAAAUAGAGCAUAACAACUUUUUUUUGAGAUGGAGUUUUGCUCUUGUCGCCCAGGCUGGAGUGCAGUGGCACAAAUCUCGGCUCACUGCAACCUCUGCCUCCCGGGUUCUAGCGAUUCUCCUGCCUCAGCUUCCCAAGUAGCUGGGACUACAGGUGCCUGCCACCACACCUGGCUAGUUUUUGUAUUUUUUUAGUAGAGACGGAGUUUCACCAUGUUGGCCAGGCUGGUCUCGAGCUCCUAAUCUCGGGUGAUCCACCCGCCUCGGCCUCCCAAAGUCCUAGGAUUACAGGCAUGAGCCACUGUACCUGGCUGCAUGUCUGCUACUCUUGAAUUGACAUCGCUACUUAUGUAUCUAAAAUGGCAGGGUAUAGAUGGUGCCACUAGUCUCUCAUCAGGAUACUUUCCAUUAAGGUUAGUGGAACUGCGCAACCAUUCAUAGCUCAGAUUCAUCAGUCACAAAAGAACCCCAGAAGAUGAUGGUGUUCAUAAAAAACAAUUUUCUUUAGUAUUUUGGUUCUGCUUUAAUCUUAAUCCCUAGGGUAAUAGAUGAGAUACUCAAGUUCAGAGAGGUGUGGAAGUCAUUUGACAGAGCAGUCGGGCCCGAGUGGUUUCCUUAUGCCAAGGCAGCACGUCAUCCUUUUUCCUCAAAAAUAACAGCAACAACAUUCCUGCACCUUGCCUCUGCAGCAUUAUAUCGUACUGCAGAAACCAGCUCAACUAUGCAAAACUACCACCAGGACUGGCCGACACCAGGAGGGAUUCCAGAGACCACACUGCAGGGAGCAUACAGAAAGAAAAUUAAGAGAUCAGAUGCAGCAGCAGCCGGAACCCACAGUUCACCUUGGUGCAUUCCUUUAUGAUGAAGACUUAUUGAUUCAUUAUAUGAGAAAGGAAAAAUGAGCAGAAACUACUGUAUGAUGUGCAGCUCACACCAGACAGCAACUUUAGGUAGGCACUUAGGUAUGCAAAUCUGAUGACUUUAUGUGUAUUUUUUCUUACAUGUCAUGAGUAUGCAAAGUUUGGACUAAGCUAUUCAAUGUUUUCUGAAAGCAAAAGGCCAACCUGUGGCAUGGUUAUUACCAAAUACUGCAGUUAGGGAGAGUAAACGAAUAUUAUCUCAGGAGAAUAGGUCACUUAAUGUCCCCCAGGAUAUAUUUAGAAACUUUGUUUUGUUUUGUUUUGUUUUUUGAAACGGAGUCUUGCUUUAUCGCCCAGGCUGGAGUGCAGUGGCACGAUCUCAGCUCACUGCAGCCUCUGUCUCCUGGGUUCAAGCAAUUGUGCCUCAGCCUCCCAAGUAGCUGGGAUUACAGGCACCCGCCACCACACCUAGCUAAUUUUUUUGUAUUUUUGGUUGAGACGGGGUUUCACCAUGUUGGCCAGGCUGGUCUCGAACUCCUGACCUCAAGUGAUCCGCCUGCCUCAGCAUCCCAAAGUGCUGGGAUUACAGGCAUGAGCUACCAUGCCCAGCUUAGAAACUGUUUUUCACAGUUUUUUUUCCCUAGUCAAGUAAGGCAGUGAGAUGUUUUUCACAUCUAGAAACUAUGUAAUCAGAGGCAACUCUGCAGGUUCAGAAACUAAACAGAGGUGACAAUACAAAGGAACUGACUCAUACUCUACAUAUUGAACAGAGAUUGGUAAACUAUACACUGAUUGAUUUACAAUGAGAACUAUAAUUUCCAAGGAGGCUGAAAUGUUCUCCCCAUAAAAACAUCUACUUGAGCUGGGCAUGGUGGUGUGUACCUGUAGUCCCAGCUACUUGGGAGGCUGAGGUGGAAGGAUUGCUUAAAACCAGGAGUUCAGGGCUGCAGUGCAGUAUGAUUGGGCCUGUGUAUAGCCACUGCACUCCAGCCUGGACAACAGGAGACCCAGUCACUUAAAAGAAAAACAUCUGGCUGGGCACAGUGGCUCAGGCCUGUAAUCCCAGCACUUGGGAGGCCGAGAUGGGUGGAUCUCUUCAGCCCAGGAGCUCGAGACCAGCCUGACCAACAUGGCAAAACCCCGUCUGUACUAAAAAUACAGAAAAUAGCAGGGUGUGGUGGCGCACACCUGUAAUCCCAGCUACUCAUGAGGCUGAGGCAUGAGAAUCGCUUGAACCCAGGAGGUGGAGGGUGCAGUGAGCUGAGAUCGCACCACUGCACUCCAGCCUGGGUGACAGAGCAAGACUGUCUAAAAAAAAAAAAAUCUCCUUAAGAAAUCAGAUAGUGAUGAGAUAUUAUUGGGCAGGCAUGGACGCAGAAGACAGAGAUAGAUAAUCUUGAGAAAUCGUUCAUUCAGGCUAUAAUUUGACCCAGUGAAGCAUCCCAAUCCAUAUUAGAGAACUUCUCCAGUGACAGAAAGCCUUCUGUCUUUGUUCAGGCUGGGUAGAUUUGUCUAGUCAUGUUGCUUUAGACAUGUAUUUCCCUGCUCACUUACAUUUAGGAUUAUUACAUAGAGUGGGCUACCCCUCUGGGUAAAUAAUCUUGUGGCUUAUAUUACUGAUCUUAGAUGAUAUCAUUAUCAAAGAUUAAAUACCAAAUUUGGAAUAUGUUGCUAAACAGAUAUAUUGUAUCUGUAUUAUAAUUUGAGAUUAAACUUCUCUGAUUUAUUAGUUUAAGAUCCUAUUUCUCAGGCCGGGCGCGGUGGCUCAAGCCUGUAAUCCCAGCACUUUGGGAGGCCGAGGCGGGUGGAUCACGAGGUCAGGAGAUCGAGACCAUCCUGGCUAACACGGUGAAACCCCGUCUCUACUAAAAAUAUAAAAAAUUAGCUGGGCAUGGUGGUGGGUGCCUGUAGUCCCAGCUGCUCGGGAGGCUGAGGCAGGAGAGUGGCAUGAACCCGGGAGGCGGAGGUUGCAGUGAGCCAAGAUCACACCACUGCACUGCAGCCUGGGCGACACAGCAAGACUCCGUCUCAAAAAAAAAAAAGAUCCUAUUUCUCAAUAAUACUUCUAGUUUCCAUUUGAGGUAGUUAAAAUUCACAGAACGAAAAGGAUUUGGACAAUAAUAGAAGAAACACUAAAAAGUUAUUAAUAACUUUGGGAGGCUGAGGUAGGUGGAUCACCUGAGGUCAGUAGUUUGAGACCAGCCUGGCCAAAAUGGCAAGACCCCAUCUCUAAUAAAAAUACAAAAAUUAGCCGGGUGUGGUGUGGCACACGCCUGUAGUCCCAGCUACAUGGGAGGCUAAGGUGGGAAGAUUGCUUGAACGUGGGAGGCGGAGGUUGCAGUGAGCCAAGAUCUUGCCACUGGCGCUCCAUUCUGGGCAACAAAGUGAGAUAACAAAGUGAGACAUCUCAGAAAAAAAGUUAAUAACUGUUAACAUCCUGUUAAAAAUAUUUAUAGAAGAGCUAUGUCUGACAGAUAAAAAUUCGAAGAUUAGGAUGUGUCUUCCCGUAAAAAUCUUAUUUUUAAUUACUGGGUAAACAGGCCAGCCUCCCCAUUGUAGAGAACUAUAAUGAAUCUGAAACAGUUAUCACCAUAAGGGACUUUCCCCCUCUCUGUCACAAGGGGCAUGUCUAGCUACAAGACUGUAGUGGUGACUCUGUAACCCAAAGAAGCACUAGUGUGGCAAAGAGGAUAGAGAAGAUGAGGAUCCUAGGGAGAUAACGACUACACUGCUUACAGCCCAACCCCCAAGAAUGACUCCAGAGGCCUAGUUACACCUUUUAUUCUCUUCUAAGGGAUAGGCCUACCUGCUUCUGUUUUACUUUUCACCCUCUGUUACUUAGGACCAAGGUUUCUCCCCUUCCUGAUCAUUAUUACAUAGAACAUAAGAUAAGUCUUUGGGUUACCUACAUAUCAGAAGAAAACCAGACUCAGGCUAUCUCAGAUAUUUCAUGACAGAAACUAGGAUGAGAAGAUAGAUUACCAGGCUAGAAAUGGUGGCAGUUAAACUAAGUGGGAUAAAAGCAAUUUAUGGGUGUAUGUGAAUCUUUCACACCACUCCUCUCUUGCCCUCCAGAAUCUAUUCCAGGUUGAUGAGGGCUGCCACUCUGUAUAGCUCCAGAGCCAGUCAUACAUUUCGUAGUCUACAGUCUAUGCAGCAAUACAUAGUACUUCUGUGGUUAGUUCUGGUGUAAGGUGAGAAAGCCGGAUGGUAUGGAAGUUAUGACGCUGUCCCAGGCACAACAGGCCAUAGGAAGUAGAGAAAGGAAAAAAACCCAGGACUCUAAAGCAGCAGCAAGAAGGAAAUGAGGGGCACAGGAAUAGAGACGGUCUUCUAAGUAGUUGUUCCCUAAAGGCCUCUUAAAUGUCAGACUUAAUAUUUGUUCUAAGUCAGAGUGGAUGAGUAAAAAAUUAUCACACGAAUUUUUUCCAAAUAACUUCUGGAUGAUUUUCAUUGAUUAAGGAACAAAAACAUGAAAUAUACUUUACAGAUGAAAUAUAGAUGAAAGAAUUAGAAGUCCAGAAUGCAAUUACUUAUACCCAAGCAAAAUUUGAUGUUCACUCUUCUAAUUCUCUGGGAUUUAUUUCUCAUUACUUCUCUCUCAUGGAAAUGAAAUUCAUUUAUCAUCAUGUACUCUCUGACAUAUCAGGAAAGGUGUUGGUUGACAUCAGCUCCAGGCCUAGCAUAGUCCUUUAUGGGGUACUGUCCAGCUUGCAGACAUCAACAUUUGGAAAGCAUUUUCUUCUGCUAGCAACAGCUUUGCCUGUCACCAUCCAAGGUGACAGUGUGGCUUUAUUUAUUAAAGUAAAAGAAUAAUAAGUUAUGACAUAGGUAGACACUUAUAUUCUAGUUUAUGAUGACAAUGGAAUUUGGGAUUUCAAAGACCACGUGUCUGAUUUCCUUUACUACUUUGUCUCUGCAAUGCAAAUUAAGGAAUAUCAACAAAACAGAAGUGUAUGACUCUUUCUUGUAACACUUUGCUAUUUUAUCAGUCACUACUGCCUUCUAACCCCUUUUUUUGGUACUGUACCGAAAUAGUAUGUUGAACUUUGAUAAGAGCUUUUAUAAAGCUGACAAAUUUACUUGACCUAGGAUAUUACUGUAUGGCCAUAAGCAAACCACUUAACACCUCUAGGCCUCUAGUUCCUCAUUUUAAAUGAGCAAACUAAAUGCUAUCCAAGGACACAUCUUGCUCCAGUUUUUUGUGAUCCUAAGUUUGAAUGCUUGUUUCUAAAACAUCACUUCAGUGUGGGUUUUUUAAAAUUAAAUCAUGAGUGUUUAUUUCUUAUGAUCUUAAAUGGUUUUACCAAAAUCUGAAAUAGGAUUUCUGGUUGUCAUUAGUAGAUUUAUUAAAACAUGUGGCCGACUGGGCAUGGUGGCUCAUGCCUGUAAUCCCAGCACUUUGGGAGGCCAAGGCUGGAGGAUCACUUGAGCCCAGGAAUUCGAGACCAACCUGGGCAACAUGGUGAAACUCGGUCUCUCCAAAACAAUACAAAAAUUAGCCAGGCAUGGUGGUGUGCACUCCUCUUCCCAGCUAUUUGGGAGGCUGAGUUCAGAGGAUCACCUGAGCCUAGGGAAGAUGAGAGUGCAGUGAGCUGUGAUUAUGCUACUGCAUUCCAGCCUAGGCAGCAGAGUGACACCCUGUCUCAAAAAAUAAAGGAAACCCAUCUUUAAAAAUAUAACUAUUUUAGAUAAUGGGAAUUAAUAAACUAUAAUCAAGGCUCUGAUCAGUAAGAGCCUUUUUCAGUUCAGGAAGUUGUAAGUUUUACAUAAACUACAAGAUAUUACUUUCAUUUUAUUUUUACUUUAUCAAAUUAUUUUUAUUUAUAUGUUUUGAGACAGAGUCUCACUCCGUUGCCCAGGCUGGAGUUCAGUGGCGUGAUUUUGGCUCACUGAAACCACUGCAUCCCGGAUUCAAGCAAUUCUCUUGCCUCAGCCUCCCGAGUAGUGGAGACUGCAGGUGCCCACCACCACGCCUGGCUAAUUUUUUGAAUUUUUAAUAGAGUCGGGGUUUCGCCACCUUUGCCAGGCUGGUCUGGAAUUCCUGACCUCAGGUGAUCCACCUGCCUUGGCCUCCCAAAGUGCUGGGAUUACAGGUGUGAGCCACCAUGCCUGGCCAAACUAUAUUUUUUAAAGCUUGAUUUUUAAAAUUUCAAGUAGAAAUAAAUCCAUGGGUAAGAGUUCAUUCAUUUGCAUCAUAGCGUAUCUUCCUAUUUUAGGGUUAUCUUUCCAGUUCAGCAGUGCAACUCUAUGGAGUAGAAUUGAAAGGAGACUUUUCGCCAAUUGCAGGAAAUGGUCAUAAAAAAAUACCUGCUCACUGACAGAAUAAAGGUACCUUUUAACUUAGUCAAAUCUCUUUUGCAUUGUUUUCCAAUCUGUUCUUGGUUGCCAUUGUAUAGAAACAGAUUGAAUUCUCUUAAAUAUUUUAAAACAUUAAUAGAGAUGAAUUGUUGUAAUUAUAUCCUAUUCACAUAUUUCUCUCUUCCCUGAUUUUAUUGGAAAGUAAAAUUUUUUGAAUUGUCUUCCUACCAGAUACAGUUUUGGUAGCAGCAUUUUUGAAUCUCUAGAGGUUGGUUAGAAGUGUAUUUAAUUAAUCUGUGAAUGUCAAAAAUACAUAAAGGCCUAAGUAAUGCUCACAAUACCUCUUUUUCAGCAGGUAUCGUGUAUGCCACAGAAUAGCAGUUCAUGGGGGAAUGAUGCCAUAGGUUAGGCUACAACAGAGGUUUUCUAUUUUUCCCGUACUUAAGAAGAAAAAUAACAAAAAAGGAGAAAGGAAUUUUUUUGGUUAAUGCAGUAAUCUUUAUCAUUUCACUAAUAGUUCUGUACUUCUGAUGGCAAUGCAGAGAAAUACCGAGUAUCUCUGAUGUUAAGUGCAAUCUAAUGUGGAAAGAUGUACCUCAGUAAGAUUAAGGAUGUAGUCUUCCACCACCCCGCCCCCUUUUUUUUUUUUUUUUUGAGAUAGAGUUUCGCUCUGUCGCCCAGGCUGGAGUGCAGUGGCCCAAUCUUGGCUCACUGCAACCUCCACCUCCUCGGUUCAAGUGAUUCUCCUGCCUCAGCCUCCCGAGUAGCUGGAACUACAGGAGCCCACCACCAUGCCCGGCUAGUUUUUUGUAUUUUUAGUAGAGACGGAGUUUCACUGUGUUAGCUAGGAUGGCCUCGAUCUCCUGACCUCGUGAUCCGCCCGCCUCGGCCUCCCAAAGUGCUGGGAUUACAGGCGUGAGCCACCGCACCCGGCCUCCCCUUUUUUACAGAAGAAAAUUAUUUCAUUCCCUCCUCUUUCCCACCUCUCUCUCUCCCUGACUUGCUCAUAUUAGAGAUAGAGGCAAAUGAUCAGAGUAAAUUCGUUGUCCAAUAGUAAGUUCAUGGUAUUUUCUCACUAUCCCAUAUGUAGUGAACAAUAAUACCUUGCUCUUGCACAAGAAUCACAUAACUAAUAGAAUCAAUAUAAUUGAAAAUUGAUAUUUAAAAAUUAUGAACUCUUAAAAAUCAUGGUUUAUAAAUGGAUAACCAAGUAAUUUUUGUUGGUUUCUUUUUAAAGAAGAUAAUAAAGGUGUACAAAAUACAUAUUUACUUACUUUUUUUUUUUUUUUUUGAGAUGGAGUGUCACUCUGUCACCCUGACUAGAGUGCAGUGGCACGAUCUCGGCUCACUGAAACCUCCACCUUCCAGGUUCAAGCGAUUCUUCUGCCUCAGCCUGCUGAGCAGCUGGGACUACAGGCAAGCACCGCCACGCCCAGAUCUUUUUUGUGUUUUUAGUAUAGACAGGGUUUCACCAUAUUGGCCAGGCUGAUCUCGAACUCCUGACCUCGUGAUCCGCCCACCUUGGCCUCCCAAAGUUCUGGGAUUACAGGCGUGAGCCACUGCCCCCAGCCUUACUUACAUUUUUAAAGAUGUUUUUUACCCCUUUUCAAAGGAAAAUAUGCAGACACACCCAUCCACAUACUUUCCUGGCUUGUAGCUUCUGUGGCCAUCAGCAACCCGAUAAAAACUUUUUGGCCAGGUGCAAUGCCUCAUGCCUAUAAUUCCAGCACCUUAGCAGGCCAAGGUGGGAGGAUUGCUUGAGGCCAGGAGUUCAAUACCAGCCUGAGAAACUAUCUCUCCCCCACAAAAAAAAAAAAAAAAAAAAAAAUUAGCCAAGUAUGGUGGCACACACCAGUAAGUCCCGGCUACCUGGGAGGCUGAGGCAGGACUCCUUUAGCCCAGCAGUUUGAGGCUUCAUUGAGCUACAGUCAUGCCACUGCAGCCCAGCCUGGAUAACAGCUAGACUUUGUCUUUUAAAAAAAUAAAAACUCUGAGGCUGGCCUGGUGGCUUACACCUGUAAUUCCAGCACUUUGGGAGACCAAGGCGGGCAGAUCACCUGAUGUCAGGAGUUUGAGACCAGCCUGGCCAAUGUGGCAAAACCCCGUCUCUACUAAAAAUACAAAAAUUAGUCAGGUGUGGUGGCGCCUGCCCUGUAAUCCCAGCUACUUGGGAGACAGAAGCAGGAGAAUUGCUUGAACCCGAGGAGCGGAGGUUGCAGUGAGCUGAGAUCAUGCCACUGCACUCCAGCCUGAGCAACACAGCAAGACUCUGUCUCAAAUAAAUAAAUAGAUAAAACUUUUUUUAUACCUUUUUUUUUUUUUUUUGAGACAGGGUCCCUCCCUGGGCUCAGACGAUCCUCCCACCUUAGCCUCCCAAGUAGCUGGGACUACGGGUGUGCUCCACCAACCUGGCUAAUUUUUGUGUUUUUUUUGGUAGAAACAGGGUUUCACCACAUUGCCCAGGAUGGUCUUGAAAUCCUGAGCUCAAGCGAUCUGCCCACCUUAGCCUCCCAAAGUGCUAGGAUUACAGGCCUCAGUCACUGCACCUGGUUUUUUGGUUUUUUUGUUUUGUUUUUUUUUUUUUGAGACGGAGUCUCACUCUGUCGCCCAGGCUGGAGUGCAGUGGUGUGAUCUCAGCUCACUGCAAGCUCUGCCUCCUGGGUUCACACCAUUCUUCUGCCUCAGCCUCCCGAGCAGGUGGGACUACAAGUACCCACCACCAUGCCUGGCUAAUUUUUUGUAUUUUUAGUAGAGACGGGUUUCACCAUAUUAGCCAGGAUGGUCUCAAUCUCCUGACCUCGUAAUCCGCCCGCCUCGGCCUCCCAAAGUGCUGGGAUUACAGGUGUGAGCCACCGCGCCCAGCCACACCUGGUAUUUUUAUACCACCUUAUGACUUUUAGAAACCUUAACAGUUUCCUUCCUUAAAGCUAUAAACAAAUGGAUUUGAGGUAUCUUAAAAUUAACAGAAAGGGAUUCUAGGAUUGUUUUUUAUUGUAUCUGUUGAAAUCCAACUAGCCUCCAAGGUUCAAUUUUUCCUUUUUCAUUUGUUUUUGUUGUUGUUUCUUUCUUUCUUUUUUUUUUUUUUUUUUUUUUUUGAGACAGAGUCUUGCUCUGUCACCCAGGCUGGAGUGCGGUGGCAUGAUCUCAGCUUACUCCAACCUCCUCUUCCCAGGUUCAAGCAAUUCUCCUGCCUCAGCCUCCCAAGUAGCUGGUAUUACAGGCACAUGCCACCAAGCCUGGCUAAGUUUUGUAUUUUUCGUAGUGACUGGGUUUCACCAUGUUGGCCAGGCUGGCCUCAAACUCCUGACCUCAAAUGAUCCACCCACCUUGGCCUCCCAAAGUGUUGGGAUUACGGGCGUGAGCCACUGCGCCCGGCCUGUUUCAUCUUUUGUACAGGGCUUUUCUCUGAAUCCUUGGUUUUCUGCUCAUGCUUAAGAAUGAGUAACAAAAAAGCUGAUUGAAGUUCUGAGUGGGGAUUGUUAACUGUGGACUUCACUAUUGAGUGAUCUUGCUGGGUAGUUCAUUAGUUGGGAAAUAUCUAGUGAAAUAUCUUAAGAUCUUUCCUUUUGGGCUGAUCUGAUUGCCUAGAAAAAACCUUUUCAAUCUUCUAGCUGAAUAACAAGCUGCAUACUGGGAACAGAGUGGUAGAGCAAAAGGGUUGAAGAGGCAGGGUUCUCAGCAUUCUGCAUGCAUGUUUCCUUAAUUCCUCAGUUUUCAGUACGUUACCCUUUCUUUCAGCGAGGCCUGGAAUCCCCUGGUUGUCUGGUUCAACCAUUUCCAGAGAAUAAACCUCUAUUCAUUUGCUGGAGUAGGAGAAAGGGAAAUAGGGAUCUGACUGCGUCUUAAUCUGACUUUCAGCCACAUUCCCUUAUUUUUAGCAUUUCCCCCUACUUCACCUGGUACCACCAAUUAUUAGCCUUUUGGAGAUUCUGUAGCAUAAGUCAGAUUUGAGUCUUAGCUCUCAAUACUUCUAUCUUUGAAAUCAAUUUUCUCUGGUCUCCUAAAUUCCUUAUCACUUCUCCUUUUGUUCUAACAACAAAUUUUUAUAUCUGUUAUUUCCUUUCCCAUUCUACCCAUCCUUGAAGGUUUACACCUUCUUUUAAAAACCCCUAUUCUGUCAUUAUAAUGGGGUUUCAGUAAUGUACAUACAUGUCUCUUAUCCACUGUCUUUACAGGCAAGGCCUAUGGAUUGAAAUUCUUUUUCCCUUUUCUUCAGGCUAGAGGUAAACUUUCCCUCAUUCAUAUCCCUGGUGUUGGCUUAUUCCUUUGAUGGCAGCUGUUGUAUGAACUUACUAACAUAGCUUUUCUAAUCCCCUUACUAGAUAACAUAUUUGAGAGUAAAUAUUGUGUCUCAUUCAUCAUAGUGUAUAUCUCUGCAUGGUAUCUUGUGCAUAGGAGGUGCCUAUUAAAUAUCGGUUAAAUUGAUUUGAGCUACCUUGUGGCCUCUGCAUUGUUAGCAUUCCAGAGUUCGCCCAGAGCUAUUCCUUUAUGGUUUUCCUGGGACCUUAAGAGCACCUCUGUGGGCUGCCAUAAUUAAUUGAUCCACCUGAUUCUCUUUUACCCUAUCUGUAUAGUUGUGGGAUGUGGGGGAAAAGAGUGAACAGAAAUGGAAAAGAAAAGGGGGGAAUUGUUUGAGAGCUGUGAUAGAUCAGGAGGUUAAUUUACAUAUUUCAUGUAUUUCAUACAUGUUUCAAAAGUUUGAAAUGAUUGACUUUUUCUUUAUAUUGAGUAAUAUGUUUACAGGCUCCAGGCCAACUUUAAAUUUAUUAUUUUAGUAUUCUUUUUUUUUUUUUUUUUUGAGACGGAGUCUCGCUCUGUUGCCCAGGCUGGAGUGCAGUGGUGUGAUCUCAGCUCACUACAACCUCCACCUCCCGGGUUCAAGCAAUUCUCCUGCCUCAGCCUCCUGAGUAGCUUGGACUACAGGUGCGUGCCAUUACGCCCGGCUAAUUUUUUUUAUUUUUAGUAGAGGCAGGGUUUCACCAAGUUAGCCACACUGGUCUCGAUCUCCUGACCUCAGGCAAUCCGCCCGCCUUGGCCUCCCAAAGUGCUGGAAUUACAGGCGUGAGCCACUGCACCAGGCCCAUAUUUUAGUAUUCCUAACACUGAGAAAAAAGAAGGAAAAUAUUUAAAAAUCGGACCACAGGCCAGGCAUGGUAGCUCAUGCCUGUAAUCCCAGCACUUUGGGAGGCUGAGAUGGGCUGAUCACCUGAGGUUAGGAGUUCGAGACCAGCUUGGCCAACAUGGUGAAACCCUGUCUCUACUAAAAAGCUCCAAAAAUUAGCCAGGCGUGGUGGUGUGUGCCUGUAGUUCCAGCUACUCGAGAGGCUGAGGCAGGAGAAUCGCUUGAUCCCAGGAGGCGAAGGUUGCAGUGAGCCUAGAUUGCGCCGUUGCACUCCAGCCUGAGUGACAGAGCAAGACUCUUUCUCAAAAAAAAAAAAACAGACCCCAAAACAUUUUGAAUAUUAUAUAUUUGUAAGACCGUGUGCUUAUUUGAAAAGAAAUCAUAUGAUACAAAGUAAACUUUUAUUUUUAAAAUAAAAGUUUGUUUUGCUCUUGAGCAAAUACGUUUUUUCUUACUAUCUUUCCUGUUGUCUGUAAGAUUUAUAGAUUGUAGUCUAAAUUAAUUUGUUUAGGUAUAUAGUAUUGGGAGGGGUAUUUAACUUCUAAGUUCAGGGAUAUGUGUGUAAGUUUGUUAUAUAGAUAAAGUUGUGACAUGGGGGUUUGCUGUACAGAUUAUUUUGUCACCCAGGUGGUAAGUGUGGUACCCUUUAGUUAUUUUUUCUGAUCGUCUCCCUCCUCGCAACCUCUAUUCUCCAAUAGGCCUCAGUAUCUGUUGUUCCUCUUUAUGUGUCCAUGUGUUCUUAUCAUUUAGCUCCCACUUGUAAGUGAGAACAUGUGGUAUUUGGUUUUCUGUUCCUGUGUUAGUUUGUUAAGGAUAAUGGCCUCCAGGUCCGUCUGUGUUCCUGCAAAGGACAUGAUCUUGUUCUUUUCUAUGGCUGCAUAGUAUUCCUUGGUAUAUAUGUACCGCAUUUUCUUUAUCCACUCUACCAUUGAUGGACAUUUAGGUUGAUUCCAUGUCUUUGCUAUUGUGAAUAGUGUUGCAUUGAACAUACAUGUGCAUGUGUCUUUUUAGGCUGUAAAUGCUGUUUCCCCCAUGGUCCAACAGCGACCCUGCCCAGUUUAACUCCCAAUUCAGGGACUUAGGCCCGUGAAACCUCCUAACCACCCACAAUCCUAGGUAAGGCCAACUCUGUGACCCUGGUCAGCAAAGAACAGUUAAAAAAAUAAAACCUGGCUGGGCGCAAUGGUUCACGCCUGUAAUCCCAACACUUUGGGAGGCUGAGGCAGGCAGAUCACAUGAGGUCAGAAGUUCAAGACCAUCCUAGCUAACACAGGCGCGGUGGCUCAUGCUUGUAAUCCCAGCACUUUGGGAGGCCGAGGCAGGCGGAUCACCUGAGGUCGGGAGUUCGAGACCAGCCUGACCAACAUGGAGAAACCCCAUCUCUGCUAAAAAUACAAAAAUUAGCCGGGCAUGGUGGCACAUGCCUGUAAUCCCAGCUACUCGGGAGGCUGAGGCAGGAGAAUCACUUGAACCUAGGAGGCGGAGGUUGCAGUGAGCUGAGGUCGUGCCACUGUACUCCAGCCUGGGCAACAGAGCAAGACUCCAUCUCAAAAAAAAAAAAAAAAAGACACAUAGCCCUCCUGCACAAAUAAGUCAAGUUAUCCUGUGCCCAACUUAUCACCAGACACUUGUAAGUUAGCUCACCACAACCUUGGCAUUAUCAGUACUGCACAAAGCCCUCUUCAGCAUGCAGCAGAAACACCAUUCUAUAAAAACUCACAGCAAGCCCUUGUCUCUUUGCAGUCAGCAUUUUUCUUGCUGACCUGCCUGUUUCACCCUUGCAGUGUAUUUUCAUACUCUAGUAAAUCUGCCUUUUUUUUUUUUUUUUUCCCCCGAGAUGGAGUUUUGCUCUUGCUUUCCAGGCUGGAGUGCAAUGGCAUGAUCUCGGCUCACUGCAACCUUCACCUCCUGGGUUCAAGCGAUUCUCCUGCCUCAGCCUCCCAAGUAGCUGGAAUUACAGAUGCCCGCCACCAUGCCUGGCUAAUUUUUUUGUAUUUUUAGUAGAGAUGGGCUUUCACCAUGUUAGUCAGGCUGAUCUGGAACUCCUGACCUUGAGUGAUCCACCUGCCUCGGUCUCCCAAAGUGCUGGGAUCACUGGCGUGAGCCACCAGGCCUGGCCAUAAAUCUGCCUCUUUUUUUUUUGAGACAGAGUUUCACUCUUGUUGCCCACGCUGAAGUGCAAUGGCGCGAUCUCGGCUCACUGCAACCUCUGCCUCCCAGGUUCAAGCAAUUCUCCUACCUUGGCCUCCUAAGUAGCUGUGUCACAGGCAUGCACCACCGCACCCAGCUAAUUUUGUGGUUUUAGCAGAGAUGGGGUUUCAUCACGUUGACCAGGCUGGUCUUGAACUCCUGACCUUGGGUGAUCACCUGCCUUAGCCUCCCAGAGUGCUGGGAUUACAGGCGUGAGCCCCCAUGCCCGGCUAAAUCUGCCUUUCUUUGCCUACAACUGUCUAAAUUCUUACCACCGGGGCCACCAGCCCAGAUAGACACUGAUCAUCUGCAACACCCGUCUGAUGGACAAGAUUGCCCUGCAGAGUUCAAGUCUGAGAGUUCCCCUAGAGCUAAACUCUCCUAUCAAAGUAAGUCGAGUCUAGAGGCAUGGCAGUCCCUGGCUGUGCUCCAUUACAGAAUGCUCCUGCAGCAAACCCUCUGGUCUCCACAUCAGGUGGCUUGCUGCCCUUACCACUCCUCUGAGCAUCUCUCUGCCAACUCAAGUGUCCAGAGUCUCUCUCUGUUGCCCAGGCUGGAGUGCAGUGGCACGAUCACAGCUCAUGGCAACCUCCACCUCCCGGGUUCAAGUAAUUCUUCUGCCUCAGCCUCCCAAGUAGCUGGGAUUACAGGUGAACGCUACCACGCCCAGCUAAUUUUUGUAUUUUUAGUAGAGACGGGGUUUUACCAUGUUGGCCAGGCUGGUCUCAAACUCCUGACCUCAAGUGAUCUGCCCACCUCAGACUCCCAAAGUGGUAGGAUUACAGGCAUGAGCCACCACGCCUGGCCUCUCCUGUAUUUUUUAAAUAAAUUGUUUUGUUUACUUUUUUGGAUAGGUGAUACAUUUAAGUGAUUUUUUGUUUGUUUGUUUUUUGUUUUUGAGAUGGAGUUUCGGUCUUGUUGCCAGGCUAGAGUGCAAUGGCACUAUCUUGGCUCAUUGCAACCCCGCCUCCGGGUUCAAGCGAUUCCCCUGCGUCAGCCUCCCGAGUAGCUGGGACUACAGGCAUGUGCCACCAUGCCCAGCUAAUUUUGUAUUUUUAGUAGAGAUGGGGUUUCUCCAUGUUGGUUAGGCUGGUCUCAAACUCCCGACCUCAGGUGAUCCACCCGCCUCGGCCUCCCAAAGUGCUGGGAUUAAAGGUGUGAGCCACUGCGCCUGACCUAAGUGAUUUUUAGAUGAAAAGCCAAACAAGACCAGUUACCAUAUAUUAACAUUUUAUAAUUUUUUAUAACCCAUUUAAAAAAUGUUUUUAUGGUCCUAUUUGAUUCUGUGAAUUAGAACAUAUUCUUUCAUUUUAUUUAUGAAGAAACUGAUUACCUAACAGUAUAAACCUAGUUGGUGAUGGAGCCAGAAUUUGAACUUAGGUCCUUUGACUCUUACAACUAGUGUUAUAAUUAUAGUGGGAAAAACUGAACUGGAAGUCAAAGAGCAUAAUUAUGACUAAGUGAAUAAUUGCUUCUAAAAGAAAUAUUGACAGGUUCAUGGGUUUUACUAGAUAAUAAGCAUCUUAUAUAAUACUACUCCCAUAAGUGGUAGUAUUAUACUGCUUUUUCUCCAAUUUUUAGAAGUGUUAACCUGUCAUGUUGUUUCACAACAUCAGUGAACCAAUAGAUACUUCUUAUGUGCUUGUAUGCUAUUGUAUCCUUGUUCUUGUCUGUGAAUUCAUUCUUCUUUAGGUGCUUCAUGCAGACAUCUGUACACCAGAUUUACUUCUGCAAAAUGCUGAUGCUAUGAAUAAUGCUUUUGAAUAUUAAUAAGGCAAAACAGACCAGGUAUGUUAUUUUAUCAAGCAAGAAAUUUGUCAUUAAAAUAUAUCCAGCAAGAUAUGAAAAGAGAUUAGUAGGUGAGAAAUGUUUUCAUGUUAAACUUUUUAAAAACUACUCCUCAAACAACUAUAAGGAGUAUAAUCUCCUUAUAGAGUAUAAGGAAAAGUGCUGUUUAUAAAAUGAAAACAAACCUUGUCUGAUUUUGGAAAACAUAGUAUCUAAUUUUUUUUUUUUUUUUUUGGAGACAGGGUCUCGCUCUCUCACACAGGCUGGAGUGCAGUGGUGCGAUCUUAGCUCACUGCAACCGCCACAUCCCAGGUUCAAGCAAUUCUCCCACCUCAGCCUUCCAACUAGCUGGGAUUACAGGUGUGUGCCACCAUGGCUGGCUAAUUUUUUGUAUUUUUAGUAGAGACAGUGUUCCACCAUGUUGGCCAGGCUGGUCUGGAACUCCUGACCUCAAGUGAUCUGCCCACCUCAGCCUCCCAAAGUGCUGGGAUUACAGGCAUGAGCUGUGACACCCAGCGUGUCUAAUUUUUGACAGAUAAAAUGAUUUCAUGAUCCAACAUUUCCUUAGCAGUGAGGGAUACAAUAAAAUACCAAUUCUCAGUGGGCCUUUAUACUUCUUUUUUUUUUUUUUUUGAGAGGAGUCUUGCUCUGUCGCCCAGGCAGGAGUGCAACAGUGCAAUCUUGGCUCACUGCAGCCUCCGCCUGCCAGGUUCCAGCGAUUCUCCUGCCUCAGCCUCCUGGGUAUGGGUAACUGGGAUUACAGGCACGUGCCACCAUGUUCGACUAAUUUUUGUAUUUUUAGUAGAGAUGGGAUUUCACCAUGUUGGCUAGCCUGGUCUCAAACUCCUAACCUCAAGUGAUCCGUCUGCCUCAGUCUCCCAAAGUGCUAGGAUGUGGGUGUGAGCCACUGCGCCCAGCCUAUACUUGUUCUUUUCUGCCUCAGUUUUUUUUCUGUGAAAUAACAUCAUAUUGCUAUCCUAUUACAAACUAAUGGGAAUUAACUAAGGCUUAUAAAUGAAUAUUAAAUGGAUAUAAGAAUAUUGGCUGGGCACAGUGGCUCACACCUAAAUUCCAGCACUUUGGGACGCUGAGAUGGGUGGAUCACAGGGUCAGGAGUUCGAGACCAGUCUGGCCAAUAUGGUGAAACUCCAUCUCUACUAAAAGUACAAAAAUUAGCCUGGCGUGGUGGUGGGUGCCUGUAGUCCCAGGUACUCAGAAGGCUGAGGCAGGAGAAUCGCUUGAACCCAGGAGGCGGAGGUUGCAGUGAGCCAAGAUGGUGCCACUGCACUCCAGCAUGCAUGACAGAGUGAGACUCCACCUCAGAAAAAAAAAACAAGAAUAUUGCCGGGUGUGGUGGCUCACUCCUGUAAUCCCAGCACUUUGGGAGGCCGAGGCGGGCAGAUCACGAGGUCAGGAGAUUGAGACCAUCCUGGCUAACACAGUGAAACCCCGUCUCUACUAAAAAUGCAAAAAAAAAAAAAAAAAAAUUAGCUGGGUGUGGUAGCGGGCACCUGAAGUCCCAGCUACUCAGGAGGCUGAGGCAGGAGAAUGGUGUGAACCCAAGAGGCAGAGCUUGCAGUGAGCCGAGAUCGCACCACUGCACUCCAGCCUGGGUGACAGAGCGAGACUCCGUCUCAAAAAAAAAAAAAAAACAAGACUAUUAACCUGGAAAACAGAUUAAUUAUUGAACUUUAAAAAUGUUCUUAAGGUUCCUUGAGUUUAUUCUGCUAUUCAAAUAGAAAAACUAGCAAAUCUAUGAUCACUUUUCUGACUUCUUGCCACAAUUGGUGCAUCAGUACCUAUAGGAUCCUCUAAUUAGAAAAUUGCUAUAGUCUGUAGUCUGAAACCCUGAAAUCAGGCUUGCUGAUUUCUUACUUUUUAUAUGGCAUAUAUGGAUUCUAGACACAAGAAAGUUCCUUUCAAUAUAUUUGAAAGAGACACUAAUAUUUUUGGAUUGGUGCAUCAUUAAGGUUUUCAUCACAGAGAAAUUAAAAUGCAGGAGUGCAGUGGUGUGAUCUUGGCUCACUGCAACCUCCGCCUCCCAGAUUCAAGCAAUUCUCCUGCCUUAGCCUUCCGAGUAACUGGAAUUACAGGCGUGCCGCCACCAUGCCUGGCUAAUUUUUGUAUUUUUAGUAGAGAUGGGGUUUCACCAUGUUGGCCAGACUGGUCUCGAACUCCUGACUUCAGGGGUCUCACUCUGUCCUGACUUCAGGUGAUCCACCUGCCUCGGCCCCCAAAUCAAGGAAGCACUUCAUGGCUUCUCUGGCAUAUCUAACUUGCCAGCAUCACUACUCUGUGCUUUGGGGCCAUUCUUAAGUAAAAUAAGCAUUACUUGAAAAGCAAACAAAAAAAUGAAAAUUAAAAAAAAAGAAAAUUUAAAAAACAAACAAAAAAGAACGAGAAAUAAGCCUUACUUUACCACCAGCCCUUCGAUAAGGAGACAAAGGGCUUGAUCUGACAAAGAAGACGCUACUAAGUGACUAACAGGUGGGUAGUGGAGACAAGUGUGGAUCCCCUGGAUAAAGAGAUAAUUCACUUCUGGGAUACAGAGCAAGAUGGCGUGAAAUUUCAUCAUGCUACUCAGAAUGGCAUGCAGUUUAAAACCUAGGAGUUUUUUAUUUCCGGAAAUUUUUGUGUGCUGUUUUCAGAUUACAGUUGACCACAGGUAAUUGAAACUACGGAAAGAAAAACCAUGGCUAAGUGGAGAUCACUUUAUAUGCUUAACACAUUUUUUAAUAAAUAUGAGGUAAAUAUUCAAACUGUAGGAUACCAAGGAGACAUUACUACCACCACCUUCAAUAUUCUGUAUGUGGAGUUAUUCAACUUAGUUUUUAAAUGUCUAUAUAUUUGCCUAGAGACAACUAACUGUCAUUUUAUUUUAUUUAUUUUUAUUAUUAUUAUUUGUGCGUGUGGCAUGAGGUCUCCCUCUGUAGCCCAUGCUGGAGUGCAGUAGCGUAAUCUUGGCUCACUGUAACCUCAACCUCCCGGGUACAAGCGAUUCUCCUGCCUCAGCCUCCUUAGUAGCUGGGACUACAGGUGUGCGUCACCACACCCAGCUGAUUUUUUUGGAUUUUUAGUAGAGAUGGGGUUUCACCAUGUUGGCCAGGCUGGUCUCGAACUCCUGACCAGGAGUGUGGUGGUGCAUGCCUGUAGUCCCAGCUACGUGGGAGGCUGAGGUGGGAGGAUCACUUAAGCCCAGGAAGCUGCACCACUGCACUCCAACCUGGGCAAUAGAGUGAGACUGUGUCUCAAAAAAAAAAAAAAAAAUGCUAGUUUCUUACUUUAGGAGAAUUUUUAGUGUUGGAAGCUUUAUACUUCCCACAAUUUGUCAUUCCUUAGCUUGACCUCAACCUCCCUCUCUAUCCUCCAGUGUUAUGCAAUGCAUCUCAGAAGGUUUGUGGGGAAGGAGAAAAAUAGAGUUAAGAUAGUUUCAUAUUUCAUCAGCCAAAUGAAAAAUACACAAAACAAAACCAGUUUUUCAUAUAGCAUUGCUGGUACUCAAACAAAAACAUUAAGAUUACAGUAAAUGUCCUAAUUAUUUAGCUCUUUACCAUUUUACAUUGAUUUGAUAAAAAUUAAAUUGAUAGAAAAUAAACGUAUUAGAACUCUGGAACUUUUUUCAGCCAAUGAUUUUUUUAAAUUAUUAAACUUCAUACAGGGCUGGGUGCAGUGGUUCAUGGCUGUAAUCCCAGCACUUUGGAAAGCCAAGACAGAUCACUUGGGGCCAGGAGGUCAAGACCUGUGUGGCCAACAUAGUGAAACCCCAUCUCUACUAAAAAUACAAAAAAUUAGCUGGGCAUAGUGGCACGCACCUGUAGACCCAGCUACUCAGGAGGCUGAAGCGCGAGAAUCGCUUGAACCCGGGAGGCAGAGGUUGCAGUGAGCUGAGAUUACGCCACUGCACUCCAGCCUGGGUGACAGACUGAAACUCUGUCUCAAAAAAAAAAAAAAACCGGCCAGGCGCUGUGACUCACACCUGUAAUCCCAGCACUUUGGGAGGCCGAGGCGGGCGGAUCCACGGGGUCAGGAGAUCGAGACCAUCCUGGCUAACACGGUGAAACCCCGUCUCUACUAAAAAUACAGAAAAUUAGCCGGGCGUGGUGGCGGGCGCCUGUAGUCCCAGCUACUCGGGAGGCUGAGGCAGGAGAAUGGCAUGAACCCAGGAGGUGGAGCUUGCAGUGAGCUGAGAUCACGCCACUGCACUCCAGCCUGGGCGAAAGUGCAAGACUCUGUCUCAAAAAAAAAAAUAAAAACAAAAGUAAAUAAAAUAAAAAUAAUUUUGAAAAUUAACUUCAUACAGCUUCUUCAUUUUUUUUGUCACCUUAUUCCCUCACCCAACCUCCAGUGCUGUCUAGUAAUGCAGAUGCCCCAGAUGUCCCAGCCUCGUCCCAUUUUGGGAUACAACAGCUUAAACAUUCCAAAAUUUGAUGAAAACUUCAUCAUUAGUAGACAUUAUAAGGUAUUUUUUGUUGAUGGUGAAUUCCACAGCCAUUCAACUAUUAAUUGCACUAAUUUUACAAACAUGUACUAAGCGUCCACUGUUUAUCCAGCACUCUGCCAGACUCUGGAUACAAACAUGGAACACUUGGGUCCACUCUGAAGGAACUCACAGUCUAAGGAGAGAGGCGCUUCUUUCAUUUAGAUACAGGGUAAGGAAAGAUGUCGCUGGUAGAGGGAAUGCCAUAUGCGGGGGCAUAGAGGAGAGUAUUUUAGUAUGACCAGGGUCCAGGCUAGGAUUACAUGAGGUUGGUAAAGUAGACGAAUGCCAGAUCGGGAAGGACAUGGUGUCGCAAACAAAGGAGAUCACAUUGUAUUCUGAAAGGGGGAGCCAUUCCAAGAUGCAUUAGCAUACUGAUACAGUCAGAAUAAAAGUAUAGAAACGUAAUUCUGAAGACGUUAUUUAGGAUGGAUUAAAAGGGUAAAACAUGGUCGGGUGUGGUGGCUCACACCUGUAAUCCCAGCACUUUGGGAGGCCAAGGAGUGCAGAUCACAAGGUCAGGAGUUCUGGACCAGCCGGGCAUGGUGACGGGCACCUGUAAUCUCAGCUACUCAGGAGGCUUGAGGCAGAAGAAUUGCUUGAACCCGGGAGGCAGAGGUUGCAGUGAGCCGAGAUCGUGCCAUUGCACUCCAGCCUGUGCGACAAGAGCAAGAUUCUGUCUCAAAAACAAAAUAAAAGGGCAAAACAACAGCAAAGAAAAUAAGUCAGCCACUGGAGUGGUCCAGCAAACCCAGUAGUAAUGAACUAAGGCAUCAACACUGGGAAUGAAGGGAGAAAGAAGGAAUCAUGAAGUAUUUAGGAGGGCCUAGCACUUUGUGGGGAGUAGAUAAAUCUGGAAGUGAGUAGUUUUAAUAAUUACAUUUACGAAGAGAUUUGAGAAAAUCAGUGAGGCAUUACAGCAAAUCCAUUAAGUCAAAAGAUAAUAGCAAGAAAUCUGCUGCAUGGAAUCAUACGCUAACAAAAUAAAAAAUAGUUAAAUACUAAGUACAUGGCCAAAAAAGAAUGCCAGGAGGCAAACAUUAAAACAAUAGCUUGAAUGGGAACCUGCCAAGGGUGAAACACACAUAUAAGAUACACAAGGAUAACUGCAUUGAAGACAAGGAUUAGGGUAGGGCAUAAAAUAAAGUUCUAAACAUUGUAAAUAAGAAUCUAGCUGGGGAGCUGGGUGCUGUGGCUCAUGCUUGUAAUCCCAGCACUUUGGGAGGCCAAAGUGGGUGGAUCACCUAAGGUUGGGAGUUCUAGACCAGCCUGACUGACACGAAGAAACCCCGUCUCUAAUAAAAAUACAAAAUUAGCCAGGUGUGAUGGCACAUGGAUGUAAUCCCAGCUACUCAGGAAGCGGAGGCAGGGGAAUCACUUGAACCCAGAAGGCAGAGGUUGCAGUGAGCCGAGAUCGUGCCAUUGCACGCCAGCCUGGGCAACAAGAGCGAAAGUCCAUCUCAAAAAAAAGAAUCUUGCUGCGGAAAAGAAGACAAACAUAAGGGUUUCACUGGCGACAUGCUAGUAUAGUAAAAGAUACGUACUUUAUUUUUAAUUUUUUUUUGAGACAGGGUCUAGCUUUGUCUCCUAGGAUGGAGUGCAGUGGUGUGAUCUCAACUCAUUGCAGCCUCAACCUCCCAGGCCCAAGCAGUCUUUCCACCUCAGUCCCCCAAGUACUUGGGACUACAGCUGUGCACCACCAUGCCUGGCUAAUUUUUUGUAGGGACAGGGUUUCACCAUAUUGCCCAGGCUGGUCUCAAACUCCUGAGCUCCAGCAAUCCACCUGCCUUUGCCUCCCAAAAUGCUGAGAUUACAAGUAUGAGGCACCACUCCUGGCUUAAUUUUUUUUUUUUUUUUUUUAAGACAUGGUCUCACUCUGUCACCCAGGCUGGAGUGCAGUGGCAUGAUCUCAGCUCACUGUGGCCUCAACCUUUCAGGCUCAGGUGACCCUCCCACCUCAGCCUCCCAAGUAGUUGGGACUAUAGGCACCCACCACCACACCCAGCUAAUUUUUGUAUUUUUUGGUAGAGACGGUUUCACCAUGUUUUCCAGGCUCAUCUCAAGCUCCUGGGUUCAAAUGAUCCACCUGCCUCAGCUUCCUAAAGUGCUGGGAUUACAGGCCUAAGCCACCAUGCCUGCCCAGAUACCUACUUUAAAAGUAACUUUUUCCUUAGAUACAGUGUUGUUUAGGCAGGCCUUGGAACCUGGGGUAUUGCUUAAUGCUUUAAGCAACUCAACCACUUUAGGCUGCCGUUUUAUCCACUUGUAAAAUAAGUUAAUUCAUCUUUUCUGACCAUGAAUUUCACAAGAGUAUUAUGUACAUCGAGAAUGAUAAACAGUCCUUCAGACACACAUAUGGAAAUGCACAUAAAUAGAAUACAAAUUGGAACUGAUCUGUUUAUCAGAAGAAAUGUCCCAACCACAUAGAUAGAUAAAGUAAUCGUAUUUGUAUCAAGGAUCCUCAUUUCGAAGAGCAUUCAACUUCAAGUUGCUCUUUGCCAACAACAAUGAUCAUCCAGCUGUUAAGUUCUCUAACACUAAUUGGUAUUCUCAAAUUUCUACUUUCUUUGAGGGAGAUGAGGAAAAAAUGCCCAAUAUAACCUUUUAGGAAUAAAUUAAAUAUAGAUUAUGGAUUAGUGAAAAUGUAAUUACGUAGACUGAGGAGAAAAGAAAGUAUGUGGCCAGGUGCGGUGGCUCAUGCAUGUAAUCCCAGCACUUUGGAAGACCGAGGCAGGCAGAUCACCUGAGGGCAGGAGUUCGAGACCAGCCUGGCCAACAUGGUAAAACCCAGUCUCUACUAAAAAUACAAAAAAUUAGCUGGGCAUAGUGGCACAUACCUGCAGUCCCAGCUACUUGGGAGCCUGAGGCAGGAGAAUUGCUUGAAACCAGGGGGCGGAUGUUACAGUGAGGCAAGAUUGCACCAUUGCACUCCAGCCUGGGCGACAAGAGUGAAACUCCGUCUCAAAAAAAAAAAAAGUGUGUAAAAUCUCAACUGUACCUAAUGACAGAAAAAGGUCAUAAGCUAUGAAAUCAUCUCAAGCAGGCUCUGUUAAAAUGCUUCCAUACUGACUGGGCGCAGUGGCUCACGCCUGUAAUCCCAGCACUUUGGGAGGCCAAGGCGGGCAGAUCACCUGAGGUCAAGAGUUCAAGACCAACCUGGCCAACAUGGCAAAACUCCAUCUCUACUAAAAAUACAAAAAUUAGCUGGGUGUGGUUGUUGGCAUCUGUAAUCCUAGCUACUCGGUAGGCUGAAACAGGAAAAUCAUUUGAACCUGGGAGGUGGAAUUUGCAGUGAGCCCAGAUGGUGCCACUGUAUACUCUAGCCUGGGCAACAGAGCAAGACUUCAUCUAAAAAAAAAAACAAAAAAAAAACAGCUUCCAUACUGACCUAAAUCACAGACUCCUAUACCAAGAGUCAUCAAGGAAGAUUUUCAGAGAAUAAAAAACACAUAAAAUUUGCUGACACAUAUUUUAUACGAGAUGCAUUAGCUGUUGACCCUAACAACCCAAUGAUGCAGGAGCUAUUAACCCUAUUUAACAGAUGAGUAAACUGAGUUUUAGUGAAGGUAAGAACCUUUCCAAAAGUUACACAGUUAGUAAAUGGCAGAGCCAGGAUUCAACCCUAUUCCUAUCUGAACUCCAAAGACCAUGCCCUUUUGUUAUGCUGCAUCUGUAUUUUAAAUUUCAUAACCUACUAUUAACCACAGAAAUCAAUAGAUUCUAAUAGAAAAUGUGUUUUGCCUUAUUUUGGUUUUGCAUUCCCUCAUAAUGUGAGAGUUGCUUGAGUAAUUGUCAAAUGUAUGAGAUGAUUUAUAAAUCUGCUGGGUGCUUAAGCCAAGAGGAAGAAAUAAAGGUUCAAAAUUUGUGACUUUUGUGAAUAAAAGUACAACGUAGCUUUAAUACUGUAAAUGGUAUCAUCCAAUACUAUGAACCUAAUAACCUAAAUGGGAAUUAUUGUUGUAAUUUUUUUUACAUUGAAAGUUACCUAUAUAGAAAGUGGGUUCAUUUUCUUCUUUUUUUUUAUUUACUGAAUUGUUCAUACAUUAAUAAAAUAAUACCUGAACUUUUCAAAAGCAACUGAAGAAAUAGAAAAUAUGACAAGUUUUUGGCUUGAAAACAGGCAGGAAAGGACAACUCAUAGAGACUAUACGUGGUUUGCUUAUAACGACUCAGUUUUUGGACUCAAUCUUUUGUUUAAUUUCCUUGCCAAACAAACAUUAUUUUCCUUGUCAAACAAGCAUUAAUAUUUAAGUCAAACUGCAAGGUGCAAAAAUAAGAGCCAUGCUUUCUGUAUGAAUUCAGAAAAGCACAGACUUUUCAAGUUUGAAAAUGUCUCAGAAUAAACUUGUCCAACUCCAUUUUCUUACAGAAAAAAAAAAUUGUAUUUGAAGCUUCUUUGCAAAGAAAUGAGUGAAUGCAACUUCCUUAAAACCUACCUGCAUUCUGACAACAUGGGACCCACAAUUUAUGGGAUAAAAUGAAGCUUGAAAAUUACUUUAGGUUGAUGUUGAGAAGUUGGAACCCUCCUACAUUGCUGGUAGGAUUUUAAAAUGGUGCAAAUGCUUUGGAAAACAGUUUGAUAGUUACUCAAAAUGCUAAAGAUGGAGAUACUAUAUGACCUAGCAGUCUCACUCCUAGAUACAUAGUCAAGAGAAAGGAAAACAUGUCCAACACAAAAACUUGUACAUAAACAUUGACAGCACAUUAUGUAUAAAAGCCAGAAAGUGAGGGGAGGUGGGGACAAAUGUCUCUCAGCUGAUGAAUGGAUAAAUAAAAUGUGGUAUAUCCAUACGAUGAAAUUUUACGUAGGUUAAAAGAUAGUAAUAAUACAUGCUACAACCCAAUGAUCUUGAAAACAUUGUGUGAAGAAGCCAGUCACAAAAGAUCAUAUUAUAUGAUUCAGUGUAUAUGAAAUGUUUAGAAUACACAAACCUAUAGAGACAGUACGUUACUGGUUGCUUAGAGCUGGGAUGGGGGUAAAAGAAGAUGGGAAGUGAUUACUAAUAGGUACAGGGUUUCUUUCUGAGGUGAUAAAAAUAGUUUAAAAAUAGAUUUUGGUGAUAGUUGCACAAUUGAUGAUACUAAAAACCACUGAAUUUACAUUUUAUUUAUUUUGAUACAGAGUCUCUCUCUGUCACCCAUGCUGGAGUACAGUGGUGUGAUCAUGGCUUAUUGCAACCUUGACCUUCCAGGCUUAGGUGAUCCUCCCACCUCAGCCUCCUGAGUCACUGGGACAUAGAUGUGCAUCCCCACACCCAGCUAAUUAUUGUAUCUUUUGUAGAGAUGUGGUUUCACCAUGUUGCCUAGGUCGCUUGAACUCCUGGGCUCAAGCAGUCCACCCACCUCAGCCUUCCGGAGUGCUGGGAUUACAGGUGUGAGCCACACUGUUCUGUCAUUCUUGCCUUUGUUCCUCAGCACUUGUAGCUUGUUUCUCUGGCUGUUUUGUUUUGUUUUGUUUUGUUUUGUUUUGUUUUGUUUUUUUGAGACAGGGUCUCGCUCUGUCGCCCAGGCUGGAGUGUGGUCGUGUGAUCAUGGCUCACUGCAGCCUCGACGUUCUAGGGUUAGGUUGUCCUCCCACCUCAGCCUCCCCAGUAUCUGUAAUUGCAGACAUGCAGCAACACACCCAGCUAAUUUUUAUAUUUUAUUUAUUUAUUUUUCUUAGAGAUAGGUUUUUGCCAUGUUGCCCAGGCUGGUCUCGAAUUCCUGGGCUCAAGCAAUCCUACUGCCUUUGCCUCACAAAGUGCUGGGAUUGUAGGCAUGAGCCACCACACCUGGCCCUGUUUUUAAUAUAUUCUUUUUGUGACUUUCAUUGUGCAUUGGUGUGUUUUAUUUUGUGUUUCUUUUGCCUGGAGUUUGUUGCACUUCUUGGAUCUGUGGGUUUAUAGUUUUGAUCACAUUUGGAAAAUGUUUUGGCUAUUAUUUCUUCAAAUAUUUAUUCUAUCCCUCCAUUUUUUUCUUCCUCUUUUGAGACUCCAGCUACACAUAUAUUAGGCUGCUUAAUGUUUUCCCACAGUGCAAUGAGAUCUGAUCAUUGAGAUCUGAUUUUUUUCAACCCAAUCUUUUGUAUUUCUGUGGUUCAUUUUGAUAAUUUCUAUUGCUAUGCCUUCAAGUUUAUUAAUCCUUUCUUUCUUUCUUUUCUUUUUUUUUUUCUUUUGAGACAGUCUCACACUGUCAUCGAGGCAGGAGUGCAGUGGCGCAAUCUUGGCUCACUGCAGCCUCUGCCUCCUGAGUUCAAGCAAUUCUGCUGCCUCAGCCUCCUGAGUAGCUGGGAUUACAGGUGCAGGCCACCACACCUGGCUAAUUUUUGUAUUUUUAGUAGAGACAGAGUUUUGCCAUGUUGGCCAGGCUGGUCUUGAACUCCUGAUCUCAGGUGAUCCACCCGCCUGGGCCUCCCAGAGUGCUGGGAUUACAGGCAUGAGCCAUCGUGCCAGGCCUUAAUCCUUUCUUUAGCAGUAUUUAAUCUGCUGUUAAUCCCCUCUAGUAUAUUGUCCAUCUUAGACAUUGUUUCUUUCUUCUUCUCUAGCUGUUUUGAGUCUUAAAAAUAUCUUACAUUCCUCUUCUUAUCAUGCUCAAACUUUCCAUUACCUUUUUGAAGAUAUGGAGUAUAGUUAGAAUAGCUGUUUUAAUGUUCUUAACUAACAAAUCCUAUAGUCUUUGUCACUUCUGGGUCUGUUUCUAUUGAUUGUUUUUUCUCCUUGUUAUAGGUUGUAUUUUCUUAUUUCUUCAAAAGCCUUCUAAUUUUUGGAUUCCAUUGUGCUGGAGUUUUCUUAUUUAAAUGUUUUGGGUUUUGUUCUGGGAUGCAGUUGUAUUACUUGGAAAUAGUUUGAAUGGUCAUUUCAAGGCUUACUUUGAAUCCUUUUUUUUUUUUCCCCUGAAAUGGAGUCUCACUCUGUCGCCCAGGCUGGAAUGCAGUGGUGCUCUCUGCUCACCACAACCUCCACUUCCUGGGUUCAAACAAUUCUCCUGCCUCAGCCUCCCAAGUAGCUGGGAUUACAGGUACCCACCACCACACUUGGCUAAUUUUUGUAUUUUUAGUAGAGAUGAGGUUUCACAAUGUUGGCCAGGCUGAUCCUGAACUCCUGACCUCAGGCAAUCCACCUGCCUUGGCCUCCCAAAGUGCUGGGAUUACAGGUGUAAACCAUUGCACCCAGCCUUUUUUUUUUUUUUUUUUGAGAUGGAGUCUUACUCUGUCGCUUAUGCUGGAGUGCAGUGGCGCAAUCUUGGCUCAUUGCAACCUCCGCCCCCUGGGUUCAAGCAAUUUCUCCUGCCUCAAUCUCCCGAGUAUCUGGGAUUACAGGUGCCUGCCACCGUGCCAGCUAAUUUUUGUACUUUUAGCAGAGACAGGGUUUCAUCAUCUUGGCCAGGCUGGUCUUGAACUCCUGACCUCAUGAUCCACCUGCCUUGGCCUCCCAAAGUGCUGGGAUUACAGGCAUGAACCACCGCUUCCGGCUGCCUUUUUUUUUUUUUUUCUUUGAGAUGGAGUCUCUCUCUGUCACCCAGGCUGGAGUGCAAUGGCACUAUCUAGGCUUACUGCAACUUCCGCCUCCCAGGUUCAAGCAAUUCUCCUGCCUCAGCCUACCGAGUAGCUGGGAUUACAGGCAUGUGCCACCAUGCCUGGCUAAUUUUUGUAUUUUUGGUAGAGACGGGGUUUUGCCAUGUUGGCCAGGCUGGUCUCGACCUCCUGACCUCAGGUGAUCUGCCCACCUCGGCCUCCCAAAGUUCUGGGAUUACAGGUGUGAGCCACCACGCCUGGCCUUGAAUCUUUGUAGGAAGGUCCAUUACAGCCUUUAAUAUGGGGCUUAUUUGGCUCAGCUACUGAAGCAAUACCUUCUCAAGACUCUACUCAAUGCCUUGCAUCUUAGGAGGUUUUUCCACUCGAUCUGGUUGGACCACAGUUUCUGGUCCUGUUUAAAUCCAAGUUUUGUUCUACUUGUUCUUCUCCAGUGCUUCUUUCUCAAAUCUUGGUCGUUUACUUCACGUACGUGUACUGAUGAUCAGAACCAGCUGAAGACUCAAGGAGAACACUUCUGAGCUCUUAUAUUAUGUAGUUCUCUCCUCUGAUUUUUACCAUGUAAAUUCUGAUGCCUUCACCUCCCAGAUCUUCAUACUGUUUGCUCAACUCAAAGAGGUGGUCAACAUCUGUUUGGGUUGCUCCUCCCUGUGCUGCAGCCUGGAAAUUCUACAGCAAUCAUAGGACUCACCUUUUUUUGUUUGCUUCUCUGAGAAAUCACUGUCCUGCACUGCCUCCUGUCUGAUAUCUGAAAACAAUUAACUAGUAUAUUUUUGUUCAGUUUUUUAAGUAUUUUAGGUGGGAGGUUAAUUCUGGUCCCUGUUACAUCAUCCUGGGUGGUAGCAGAAGUCACAGCAUAAAGUUUUUAUUUCCUAAUGUUUUCUUAGUUAUAUGGAUAAUUCAAAUGUUGAAUAAGAACCUAUUUUGCAUUUUAAUUUUUUCAAUCAUUUUAUAAGUUGGAGGAAUCUUUAAAAGUAGAAAAGCAAAAAAGGUGUAAAAUGAACAACUGACAAAUAAGAAAAUCAUGAUACUUUACCAAGAUGUUGUACUAGCUAAUUAUUAAGCAACUUAGGUAAUAUCUCAAAGGCUUUUAGAAAAUGUGUGUAAAAAAUUAUUUUAAUUCCUUAUAAUGUUUCUUUUUUCUUUCUUUCUUUUUUUUUUUUUGUUUUUUUGUUUGUUUGUUUGUUUGAGACAGAGUCUCACUCUGUCACCCAGGCUGGAGUGCAGUGGCGUGAUCUCUGCUCACUGCAACCUCCUCCUCUCGGGUUCAAGUGAUCCUUGUGCCUCAGCCUCCUGAGUAGCAGGAAUUACGGGCACCUACCACCACAUCAGGCUAAUUUUUGUAUUUUUAGUAGAGAAAGCGUUUCACCAUGUUGGCCAGGCUGAUCUCGAACUCCUGACCUCAGGUGAUCCGCCCGCCUCGGCUCCCAAAGUGCUGGGAUUACAGGCAUGAGCCACCGCACCUGGCCUAAAUGCUUAUUAUUUAUUUUUAUUUUUAUUUUUAUUUUUUGAGACGGAGGCUCGCUCUGUUGCCCAGGCUGGAGUGCAGUGGUGCAAUCUCGGCUCACUGCAACCUCCACCUCCUGAGUUCAAGCGAUUCUCCUGCCUCAGCCUCCCAAGUAGCUGGGAUUACAGGCACUCACCACCACGCCCAGCUCUUUUUUAUUUUUAUAUUUUUUUAAGUAGAGAUGGGGUUUUACCAUUUGGCCAGGCUGGUCUUGAACUCCUGACCUCGAGUGAUCCACCUGCCUCGGCCUUCCAAAGUGGUGGGGUUACAGGUGGGAGACACCACACACCCAAACACUUACUAUAUUUCUACUUAACGGCUUCAAGUCUUAAACAGAUUCCAGGACUAGCAACAUUUUGAAAACUCACUGUUCCACUGCAGUUUUGCUCUUAAGUAAAAUUUGAAAAAUUUGCUUUUAAAUAUGGGAGAUACUGAGCAUAAUAUUUAAUUUUUUUUUCUGAGACAGAGUCUCACUCUGUCACCCAGGCUGGAGUGCAGUGGCAUGAUCCCAGCUCACUGCAACCUCUGCCUGCCAGGUCCAAGUGAUUCUCCUGCCUUGGCCCCCCAAAUAGUUGGGAUUACAGGCAUGCACCACCAUGCCUGGCUAAUUUUGUAUUUUUAGUAGAGAUGGGGUUUCACCAUGUUAGCCAGGCUGGUCUCGAACUCCCGACCUCAGGCUAUCUGCCUGCCUCAGCCUCCCAAAGUACUGGGAUUACAGGCAUGAGCAACCCCGCCCAGCCAAAAUUUAAUUUUCAAGUGGCCAGUAGUUACUCCAAUGAAGCCAAAAAUAAUUAGUAUCAUUUUCCAGCCCAAGUUGCAGAAUGACUGAACAUAGAAGGCAUCUCAGAAAAAAAAAUUUUUUUUAAUCACUGGACACUUUAUUGAAAGCAAAGCAAGAUUUAGCAUCUUUGCCUUCGUUGUACACAGCUGAAGCGGAAGCCCAGGGAGAUGAGGACUGCAUGGUUUUCCUUGGCGUGGGAGGUGUGCACCCUUCAGUCCUCUCAUUUGUGGGAAGAUCAGCCCAUGCUCUGUUGGCUGCCAUAGUCCCUAGGAUGGAUGCCCUUCCAGUCAUCCCACUCCCGAACUCUGUAGAGUGUUUGUUCAUCAUCCUCUUCCUCCUUUUCUUCUUGACCUUCCUGUUGCUGAGCUGCUUUUCUGAAUUCCUCUGGUGUUGCCUUGGCUAUUCCCUGAUCUGGUAAUGCUCCAUAUUUCCAAUGUUGCUUAUACCAGUCACUCACCGUCAUAGUUGCCAGACUUGGAUAACCAGCUCCAAAUACUUUGACUUGGGCCAUGUUCCGAGUGAGAAUGAAGGGUUUCACUGGAGGCCUCUCCUGGCGAGAUGAAUUAGAAGUUGAUGCCUCUCUUGAAGAGUCUCUUUCUCUCAGGAUCUUUAUUUCCUGGUCAAUGCUCUCAAUCUCUUCUAAGCUGAUAUCAGUUCACCUCUGAAGGUGAAGAAGAUAAUAUUCACGAACACGCUCAUCAUCUGCUUGACCAGUUUCCACAGCAGAUUUGAUUGCAGACAACCUGUGCUCCAACUCCUUCUGCUUGUGUCUCUCUCUUUUAGCCUGUCUUUGAGAUGCCAUAGCAAUGAGGCUAGGAUAAGCCAUGGAGAAAUUAGCAGUGUGAUUUUUCAGCUGAGUUCUUGGUUUUCGGCAGCUCAAGCUCUGCCACCUGAUAGCAAUGGCACAGUUAAUUAGUUUAUAGUGCUCUUGAGCCCACUGCAAAUGAUCUAGACGCUUGCUGGGCUUGACUUGUUUCAUGGUGAAGGCUCCUUGAAACACUGGCACCAACAGGUACUUCAGGUCGGUGGAAGCAAUCACUUCCAAAUCUUCAUUUUAGCUGAACAAGUCAAGCUGCGAUAACAUUUCGGCAGCCUUCUCAAGGAGGUCCAGGCCCUUGAACACCUUCUUCUGGACUAUCCGGGAACCGGCAGGUUCAGUCACUACUUCUACAUCAUCCAGAAGCUGUUUGCUGGUUUCAAACAGCUCGGGGAGCUGUGGCAGCAGUAAUUUGUCUUCAGCAGCCAUCUUGGAGAGGGACAAACAAGAAAUUAUUUUUAAAGGAAAACUUUCAAAGUGAAAAGAGAAAUAUAUCUUCUCCUGGGAGUACUAAAAGAAAACCUCACCUCAGAUGAGUUAUCUCACAAUUUCCGAACAAAAAUAAUCACCUUUGGGCCAAGAAGAGGUGUGGAAAGUUUCAAACACAGUUUUUAUAAAGGGGGUACAACUGAAAAGGGGUUUUAACACAACCACCUCUCUCGCAGGCUUAUUAGAUCCUGAUCACCUAAGAGUUUCUUGUCAGCACUCCUGUCAAAUGGAUGAAAUGCGCCCGGAAGGCUACCUCUGACAAAAGGGAAGGCACAGCAGAAAUGUUACUGUGUAAGGGUGCCAGUGGGUACAGAUGUGGUUAUCAUCUUCCACUAAUCAUCUAAGAACAAAGCAUCUUUUGCUCCUUUGGGGGGCUAAAUGGGAUGGUUACUAAGUGGGAAGGAUGUGCUUUCCUAAUACAGCAGCAUAAUAAUUGUUCUAAAAGAUUUUAACCCUGGCUGGGCACAGUGGCUCACGCCUGUAAUCCCAGCACUUUGGGAGGCUGAGGCGGGCGGAUCAUGAGGUCAAGAGAUUGAGACCAUCCUGGCCAACACGAUGAAACCCCAUCUCUACUAAAAAUACAAAAAAAUUAGCCGGGCGUGGUGGUGGGCGCCUGUAGUCCCAGCCACUCAGGAGGCUGAGGCAGGAGAAUCGCUUGAACCCGGGAGGCGAAGGUUGCAGUGAGCCGAGAUUGUGCUGCACUCCAGCCUGGGCAACAGAGUGAGACUCUGUCUCAAAGAAAAAAAAGGGCAGGGGGUGUCAGGCAUGGUGGCUCACGUCUGUAAUCCCAGCACUUUGGGAGGCCGAGGCAGGCGGAUCAAGAGAUCAAGACCAUCCUGGCCAACAUGGUGAAACCUCAUCUCUACUAAAAAUACAAAAAUUAGCUGGGUGUGGUGGUGCGCACUUAUAAUCCCAGCUACUAGGGUAGCUGAGGCAGGAGAAUCACUUGAACCUGGGAGGCAGAGGCUGCAGUGAGCUUAGAUUGCACCACUGCACUCCAGCCUGGCGACAGAGCAAGACUUCAUCUCAAAAAAAAAAAAAAAAAAGUAUAAAAACCUCAACAAUUAUAAUUUAUCUGAUCUUAUUAUGUAAAGGGGCUCUUGAGAACAGCAAGUUUAUCUCAAUAUGGUAUAUUCAGAAUAGUCAAAUAUAGUUUUUUGUUUGUUUUUGAGACACAGUCUCACUGUUGCCCAGGCUAUAGUGUGGUGGUGCAUUCCUCAGCCUCCUGAGUAGCUAGGGCUUCAGACACGUGCCCCCAUGCCCAGCUGAUUUUUCAAUUUUAUAUAGAGAUGAGGUCUCCCUGUGUUGCCAAGGCUGGUCUCAAAUUUCUGGGCUCAAGGGAUCCUCCUGCCUCAGCCCCCCAAAGUGCUGGGAUUGCAGGCGUGAGCCACAAAACCCAGCCACCGCCCUGGUCUUUCAAAGCACUGGGAUUACAGGUGAGCCUUAAUUUAGAGAUAGUAUUUCCCUUCAGAGCAGAUAUCAGACUUGUUUACUUUCCUGUAUAAUAAAGUUAAUGUCUCCCUCCAGAGCAAAGACCUUGCAGGUUUAAAAGUUGUCAUUCAGAACUAAGGGGAGUUCCGUGGCGCCUCUGGCCUGGCCUCCCCUUUCUUGUCUGACUCGAGACACCAACUGAGUUCCUGUUUCUAGUAGCUAAGCUCCCACCGUCGGGGAGGAAUCAGGGACUGUGCAGUCCCUGUGAAUCCCAUCCAGGUCAGUUCUAGAUUCUAAACUGAAUUUUUUUCAUGAUAUUGUCAAAACAGUGAGGAAACGUUUUGUAAAGAAGCCCUAAAGAAAAAAAAAGUCAUUGAGCCUUCCUAAACAAUUUUCUCUUAAUAUAUGUAUUCUAAGACUUUUUAAUGUAUAUACUAUAUUAGAAAUCCAAUUCUCUUGUAGAUGUCUCUUUUUUUUAAUAAAAACUUUUUUUUUUUCACAUUUUCCUGCCUCUAUCUAGUAUGUGGAACUUAACUGAACUUAGAAGGGACUUCAGAACUAUUUAUUUAUUUAUUUAUUGAGACAGAGUUUUGCUCUUGUUGCUCAGGCUGGAGUGCAAUGGCUCAAUCUCAGCUCACCGCAACCUCUGCCUCCCGGGUUCAAGCGAUUCUCCUGAGUAGCUGGGAUUACAGGCAAGCAUCACCACGCCCGGUUAAUUUUUUGUAUUUUUAGUAGAGACAGGGUUUCUCCAUGUUGGUCAGGCUGGUCUCGAACUCCUGACCUCAGGUGAUCUGCCUGCCUCGGCCUCCCAAAGUGCUGGGAUUACAGGCACAAGCCACCACACCCAGCCCUGUAGAUUUCUCAUUGAGGGCACAAACAUUUAUUUCCAUCUCCUGUGUAACUAUUCAUAAACUUAAAGAUGAUUACUAAAGCAACUUUCACCUUCCUCAGGUUAAAUAAGCAAUGUGCCUUUAAACUUUCCACAUAAAUUCUGUUUUCUAAUUUUUGUUGUUGUUGUUGUUGCUAUUUUGUGUUUUCUAAUUUUUAAUCCUUUGGUUAAUCAUGCCUCUGGAUUUUUUCCCAUUUUCUUCAUCUCUUGAAUUUAGAGCCCAGGAUCUGAUACAAUACCCUAGUAAAGGGUUAAUUCCUAUUGCAUAGAUUUUCGAUACCUGCCACAGACUUGAGGGCAGGUUGAGGGCAGAUACUGUUUUAUACUUUUCUAGUAUCAGUAACUUUCUAGCAUAUGUAGGUGCUCAGUAAAUUCUUACUGAUUGAUUGGUGUAUCCCAGAAUUGUUUUUGAGUUGUAAAUCACAGUACCACUUUGCUGAUUCAUGUUUAAUGUUUGCUUCACUAUAAAAAUUGUUUGUAAAGUAAAAAACAGCAAGGAACUCUACAAGUGGUGAACAAUGGCUAUAAAUCAUAGAACCAUCUUUGUUUUUGUGAAAAGUAUUCUUACUUCAAUUAGCAGUCUUUCUAUUCCCGACCACCUAUCCCAAAGGAAUCAUCAUCAAUAAUGCCAUCUCUGCAUACAAAAGAUAUUCUUUAAUUACGAUGCUUAGCUGAGUUAGCAUUUUUACUUUUUUUCCUUUUUCUAUUCUUUUUUUUUUUUUUUUUUUUUUUUUUUUUUUUUUUUUUUUGAGACGGAGUCUCGCUCUGUCUCCCAGGCUGGAGUGCAGUGGCGCGAUCUCUGCUCGCUGCAAGCUCCGCCUCCCGGGUUCACGCCAUUCUCCUGCCUCAGCCUCCCGAGUAGCUGGGACUACCGGCACCCGCCACCACGCCCAGCUAAUUUUUUUUUAAUUUUUAGUAGAAACAGGGUUUCUCCGUGUUAGCCAGGAUGGUCUCGAUCUCUUGACCUCGUGAUCCGCCCACCUCGGCCUCCCAAAGUGCUAGGAUUACAGGCGUGAGCCACCGUGCCCGGCCUAUUCUUUUUUUUUUUUUUUUUUUUUUUUUUUAGUAGCACUUGUUGUUGAAGCAUUUUUACUUUUUGUAUUUCCUUCUUUCUGAGUUACUGUGGUAGGCUGCAUCUAAAAUGACUCCUAAGCACCGUACCUUCUGGUUUUCACAUCCUUGUGUAAUUUCCUCCUCUUGUGCUUGGGCCGGACCUAAUGACCUCUUUCAAAAGAAUAGAAUAUGGCAAAGUGACAGAAUGUCACAUCUGAGAUUAGGUUACAAAAGACUGUGACUUUCAUCUUCCUCUCUCUCUUGCGCUCUCACUUGCUCAUUCCAAUGUAGGAAAUUGCCAUGUUGCAAUUUCCAAAGGAUAGGUCACAAUCCAAAGGAUAGGUCCAUAUGGCAGAAAAACGGAGGGUAGCCUCUAGUCAACAGCCAGUGAGGAACGGAGGCCCUGAGUGCAACACCCUGAUAGGGACUAAGUCCUACCAACAUCAACACCUAGUCAAGCCUUAAGAUGACUGCAGCACCCGCUCAACACCUUUUAUACAGCCUUAUGAGAAACCCAGAGCCAAGAGACCCAACUAAGCUUUGCCUAGCUUCCUUACUCAUAGACUCUGUAAGAAAAUAAUUGUUUAUUGCUUUAAGGCACCAAGUUUGGGGGUAAUUUUUCAUACAGCAAGAGAUAACUAAUAUAGAUUCUGUUUGAUAAAUAUUAACUUACACCUAACUCAGAUUUCACUCAAAGAAAUUAAUAUGCAUGUGAGAAGAUAUAUUCUUUACCCAGCCACGGGAGGUAUUGCCUAGGAAAAACUUAGAUAGUUGCCAACCGAUUGUAUCAUAAUCUCACUUCUGAGUUUAGAAAUUAAUAUUAAAGGACUGUAGUUUCCAGUCAGACUUUUCCAUUUAAAAACCAUGAGCUUCUAUUUUUACAAGUCAUAGGUACUUAAUUAGUUCUCCACUAUUCUGUAAAAUAAUACACUCCUAGUUCUGUGAUAACUCUGGUCAAUUCUAGAAAUAAGUAUUCGUUAGUACAAAUUACCAGAGCCUGUGGAUUUGAAUGUAUCAAUCUGUUUUAUUAAGCAGGCCCCAUUUUGUGAAACUCAGCUGGAAAACGACAGUCAACCUGACAAUUCUCAUAGAUAGUUAAUUUAAGAAAUUCUUCUUCUUCUUCUUCUUUUUUUUUUUUUUUUUUUUUGAUAGAGGGUCUUACUCUAUUGCCCAGGCUGGAGUGCAGCGGCACAAUCAUGUCUCACUGCAGCCUCAGCCUCCGGAAUAGCUGGGACUGCAGGUGCACACCACGAUGCCCAGCUAAUUUUUUUUUUUUUUUUUUUUUUUGAGACGGAGUGUCGCUCUGUCGCCCAGAGUGGAGUACAGUGGCUCCAUCUCGGUUCACUGCAAGCUCCACCCGCUGGGCUCACGCCAUUCUCCUGCCUCAGCCUCCCGAGUAGCUGGGAAUACAGGCGCCUGCCACUACGCCCAGCUAAUUUUUGUAUAUUUAGUAGAGACGGGGUUUCACCGUGUUAGCCAGGAUGGUCUCGAUCUCCUGACCUCGUGAUCCACCUGCCUCGGCCU